AGAGAAAUUGCACACUAUCAAAAAAAUUAUAAUUCAAUGUAUAACACUUUAACCUAUUUUGCUAGCAUACAUACAUUAUAGGUGCCUCUGGAGGUUUCGAGCUUCGCCGGCGGAGUAUCCUAGGCUGAAACCUGCGGCCGUCUUGAGUUUCUGGUGACACAGCGAGGUAGGUGUAGCGGCAUAGGAGGUUGGGGUCGGCUUUUGGGUAGGGAUCUGUUUAGGUGUCGACUUUCUUCUUUAGAUCUCCGGCGAAUUCCGUCAAGUUGUGGCUCGUGUUCUGGUCAGGAGGCUCCUCUGCUCUAGAUCUGUUCAUAUACCUAUCUUCCAUGUCAUUUUGUUUUCCCGGUGGAGAAACUCUUAUCAAGCGCAGGCGGUAAAGAAAUACCCUGAAGCUUCGAGUAUGAGGUGAGAUGACUAUAGAUAGAAAUACUUCUUUAAAAUAUAGAAAUAUUAUAAAUAUGUUUGAUAUAUAGUAGAAUAUUUACUGAAUUUUGCAAGUAUUUGGAUGGAAAUGAGAAACAUGACUCUUUUAAGUAACCAUAGAGCCUUCUCACUUCUCAGCAACAAGACCAAAACCGCAGAAUAACAUCAAACGUGUGAAAUAAAAAUAGAGACGUGCGUCUCAAGUAAAUAAAGAGACCAUUAAAACCUGGUACUCUUCAACCUCCCCCACCACUUCAUCUUCACUCUCUCCGCUGAACCACCACCUCCUUCACUCCCAAGCUUGCCAAGUAUCAGUUUCGUUUCCCUUAGCCUCCCUCCAUAAUCCUUCUUCCACGUGUCAAACAUCUGUUUCAACCUUCUUAGCUCCCUCUCCGGAUCCAAGUUCGCCUCCACCUGACCAGACUUCACUUCCAUCAAGAACUUUGUGUCAUCACCAAACACCUGAGCUCUCUGUCCGAACUCCUCUGCUAACCUGCUUAUCACGCUUAACCCCACACCAACACUUCUUGUCCUCCCAUGAGUCCUGAAAUCACCGCCGCUUCCUGAUAACUCCGUUGCGUCGCUUGCGUUCACCGACGCAUCAGAGUUUCUCGCUGAGUCCUCAACCUCUAGGCUUUUCUUGGCAAUGGAAAGACUGGACUGCAAUGAUCUCAUUUGCUUUUGCCAAAUCUCUUCCAUUGACUUCAUCUUGGUUUCGUAUUCAGACCACCUGUUGUCGUACUGCUGGAGUCUUUGUCGGAGAAUGUCGUUCUCUUCUUCUUUCUCACGAAGUGCAGCUUCGCUUUUCAGAACCCUGCGCUGAAGUUCUGAAAGUACUGAUGCCUUCACCAGCACCUCGUCUGACUCAUUUCUCUGCGUAAAGAAUUUUAAGUCAAAACAAUGUUCAUUUAUAACCUUAAGUGAGAUGCAAGAAAGUAGUCUAGGACCUUGGUGCCUCCAGAUUUUAGCCAACCAAUAUCCCCAGCACAUCUUCUAACCAGCUCGCCACGAAUUGCUGCAAGUAAAUGAAACUUUUAAUAUCAAAUAUGUUGACGUUACACGGUUUAAUUAACCCUUUCUUACCUGACUGUAUUACAACAGAUGCAUCAACUGUAGCUUUAUACUGUCUCUUAGCAAUCCUUCUCUUAACAUGGCUUUGUAUAGCAGCAGAAGCUCUAUGCCUCCGAAGUAACUCUGUGUAUUCCUUUCUUACCUUUUCUCCACGAACAACUGAAACAAGAGGAUGUAUGAAGAAGCCGUAGUUUAAGUUAAGCUGAAACUGUCUCUACUUAUAUAGAAAUGAGAGAAGGGUAAUACAUGACUGAAGAACAGUAACUCUUCUUUUAUGCUCUCUUAGACGACUCCGUGCUUGGUGCCCUCUAAAACAGCUUUGGAGACGUAAGAUCCCAUGAAGAGUGCGGUUCCUUGUAUCUUCAAGAACCCCAAUCUGCAUAGGUGAAGUAAGAGUUUUUAAUUUGUGGCGCCUUCUAGAGAAAGUCAAGACAUCAGAAGACUAUCUAUAUAGUACCUGGCCAGUUCUGAAAAACAGUUUUGUGUAGCCGACUUGAUACAUCUCUGGCAAGAUGUUGAACUGAUGAAGAAUUGCAACAGAAACACUAAGAGGAUCUUUUGCUGCAAUGCUCUCCAGCAGAAGGAAACCAUACCUAAAGUAUGACAAGGAAAACAACAUGAAUGCUUGAUAAUUGAAAACAUUAUUGUAAAACAAUUAAAGUGAAUAACUGAUGGAGUUUGUCACCUUCUAGCAAAUUUCUGAUGAGACAUUCUGGUAGGAAAUCCAGACCGGGAGAUUCUAACCACCUCUAGAACCCCACAACAUCUUAGCUGCUGUAAGACAAGACCUUGCUCAUACAACCCCGGAGACUGAACAUUGUUUGGCUUUAUGCAGCGAAUGAAAUGUGGUGUCGUGUUCCCUAGACGUUGCAUCAAUUGGAAAAGUUGAUCCUGAAAAAAAUGUAUCCAGCCAUGGUCACUAACUAGAUACUAUAAAAUGAUGAGAAAAUAGAAGAAAGCUGUGUUUAAAGGCAAAAGUGACAUACCUUAAAUUUAGUUGCUACACUCAGUCGCUGGGAGUCAGCUCCACCUGCUUUGUAUAAAGGACCAACAACAGGCUUUUCAGAAUGAAUGAGCAUGCUAGAAGCGAAGGCUUGUGGAAGGUGGCAAGAGCAAGAUGACAAAAGCUUAAUAGAAUCUGAAUGCAGCAAAUCCCGGUUCUUCUCUAGAAAUCCAGUCGUCUCAUAUGUAACCUGAGUUUGGAAAAAAAAAAAAAUGAACCCACAGACCCAACAACAUAACAUGGCUUAUGUUCUGUAAAACAGUGCCACUGGGUUUUCUCAAGCUUAUAUUACCUCUCCAGCAUAAUGAGAAACCGUAAAAGCCUUCCCUCGAUCUCCUCUAAAACAGGAAUUAGCACUUAGGUGUUCCUUAAGCUUGUUGGCAAGUGUCAGAUCUGUGCCAUUCGGAAAUGUUGAUUCCUCAUCAAGAAGCGAGAGCAGACCUAAUGGUUUCUGCACAGAAGUGAUACUUACACUGUGUUAACUUAAUUGACAUGCUUUGGAAAGGAAAAUAAAUAUCAGUUAUCACAUUACCUUUUCAAAGAGACUGAGACAAUUUUGGUUGUCCUCAAAAUCAACCCUUGUCCAGUCAAUGCCAUCCUGUAUAUAUUCCUGAAAGAGCAAAAAGACAUGUUAAGCCCUCAGAACUGUCUGUAACGUGAAUGCUCAGCCAUAUCAGAAAGUGGGCAACUUUACCUCCUGCUCCAGCUUGAAUAGAUGACGAUUAAAGUGUUGCUGCAAUCUCUCAUUUGCAUAAUUUAUACAGAACUGUUCAAAACUGUUCUUCUGCAACAUGUGAAGUAAUUAUUCAGCAACAUUCACAUUGGAACAAAUUUUAAACAGAAUAUGCAUACAUCAAACCAUUUUCUAAUAAGAUCUAUGACCGUUCUUUCUCAUCAUGCAAUGUGGACACAUCCACUAGUUGAUAUUUUAGAAAGAUAAGGUAAAAUCUCAAUGAGAAAAUAGUUCCUAAGCAUUCAGAUUUUCAGCAGAUAGAUUAACGUAGAGAAUUAUGACAGUUCCUCCAGGUCCUCAUCAGUAUUUCCUAUAAGUUUCUAUGGUUGUCAUGAUUUAGUAAUUUGACUUUGAUCUGAAUAUGUAAUGUAUAGAUAGCUUCCGUGAGUUCAUGCAGGAAAAAAAAAAGAGAGAGAGAGAGAGUAAAAAGAAGCAUACAUCAAAUGAUUCAAAGCCAUAGAUAUCCAGAAUGCUGAUGGAUCUGCCAGUCCUCCUUUUUCCCACCGCAAGAGAUUUGUUUAUCUGUUCAACCAGCCAGUCAAAUAGGCAGGCAUAUAUUGACUUUGCUAAAGCAUCUCUUGCGUCAAUGGCCUGAAAUUACAUUUAUAGAAUCUCAGCACACAAAGGAAUAAACAAGUCAUUAUCUCCAGAAGGAAUACUCAUGUAUUGCAAGGCUUGAUGCGAACUAAAUAAGAAGCAUAGAUCAUGACUACAAACGCAACGCAGAAUACACUUUUAGUCACAAAAAGAAAACUAAAUGCAAGCGAUUCUUUGUAAACGGCCUACCUGCGAUAGUGUUAGCUUCUGUAUAAUUGUGUCAUUUCUAACUUUCAUAUUACGAUUCGAUAGAGCUAGCUUUAGCUCAUUGAUGUUGCACCCAAUCAAUUUAGCAACAGUUGACAAACCUGAAGAAAAAAACAAAAGAUACACCACUUAAGUUAGCAAUGCUUUUGCACGUCGCCAGAUAAGCCGCAAAUAUUAACCAGUAAACUUGAAAUAACCAAAAUCAUUUUCCAAGAGAAGGAUACAAUAACUUUAAAGGUGACAUCUCCGCACACAAUAUACAGAAAAGCAGAGAAACUAUCAGUAUCUAAGGAUUGAAGAGCCUUACUUUCAUCUUCCUCAGGUUCAACGUGGUUUUCAUUGUCAAUAGCGGUGAAAGAAACAUUCCCUAGCCAUAGUACUGCUGCAAGCAUUGCAAAUACGCUUUCUUGAUCUUCUUUACUAACGUGCACAAUGUCUAGAGCUUCCUGUAACAGCAAGUUUUUCAAUCAAACGCUAAAUAGAAAGAAAGAAAGAACAAAUUAAAUUGAAUGAAUGUUGUUUACCGUGACAGCUUGAAAACGUUCAGCGUCAUCAACUCCGUUAAUUGAAUAACAAUUGCUUUGUUGCAAAUAUUUAUACUCUUCUGCGCUUGUCAAAUUUAGCUUCUCUGAUUUGACAAUUAGUGGAAUAAAAGAGUCAGAUAUACAAUUAAAAAGUCAGUUAUACCGUAAAAUCUUUUUAAAGAGAAUUGUUAUAAGCUAUUUAUAGGAUUCAGAUUUUACAAAUCAUACCUCUAAGAGUAGGUGAAGCCCCAGCACAAAGCUGGUAAAAUAUAUGAUAUGACCUUUCUCCUUCCGCACAUUGAACCACUCUAGACUAUUAAAGUGUGUCAGAAUUAAAAGAAAAGCAUGGCAAUGUUACGCAACUAUGUUUCGAAGCAGCUAAAACAAUAUAGAGGAGUUUACCUUUUCUAGCAAAACUGCAAAAUUUGAAGAAACAGCAAAGAAAACUAAGUCAGCAUUUGUAUAUGAAAAAAAAAAGGAAAACAUUGUGAUGUAGCAACUACAAGGAUUAUGCUUACAUGUUUGGACUUUAGCACCAGAAAUCUUUCCUGUUUCACUAAAAUGAAUCUCUAUCAGCUUCCCCUGUCAAGUUUAACAUCAAAGAAAUAUUAUGAGAUAGAGGCGCAAAAGUUCAACAGACACAGAGUAAAAUGGGGAUUGAGGGCUUACAAAACGACUAGAAUUAUCGUUUCUCAAUGUUUUUGCAUUUCCAAAUGCUUCCAAGAUGGGAUUAGUCUUUAAUAUCUCAUACUCGAUCCCACUUCCACCUCCAAGAGCAGCCAAGUAUUGCAUUGCUAUCUUUGCUGUCUCAGUUUUCCCUGCUCCACUCUCUCCACUGUACAAAAAAACAUAUCUGGUGAUAAGAAAACACUUACCAGUGCACAAAUAUGUAACAGCGAACUUUAAAGGAGGAAGUUUUAACUAACCUUAUAAUGAUGGAUUGGUUAACUUCAUCUAAAACAGAAAACGAAACAAGAUAAGAAUGAAAACAUAGAGUGCAAUACGUUAAACAAUUACGAAACGUGAUCCCACCUCUUAUCAUUUCACGGAUUGCUGUAUCUGCAAUAGCGUAGACAUGAGGGCUCUCAUUUGAUCUUUUCCUGUAUGCUUCGAUGUUGCUAUUUCCAUACAAAGGAACCUCUUUGAAUGGAUUCACAGCCACUAGAACCGGGCCUGCUUUGGUCUAUCACCAUAAAGAAAAAACUCAGAAAAGAAAUAAACAAAUUUUACUAUAGAAUUCGGAGUACUAAAUUAGCAAAAAAAAAGACUUACAUAGAUCAUGUCUUGGUUGUACCUAUACUCAAGGUUGUACAACACUGCUGGUUCAUUUAAGUAACUUAGUUGCAUGAGAUCAUCUACUCCAUCAAGUAUAUCAGGAUUUGCAGGUACUAGUGUCUCUGAUAUGACUUUUAACACCUGUUCAAAUCAAGAAGAAUCAAACACUAAAAAUAGUAAUCAACAUCUAUUUUAGGGAAUUAAAAAAAAUAAUUCACAUACAUUUCCCUCAGGUAGUUUAACAACAGACUCUUCUCCUGAAGUUGACAACACCUUCCCCAGCUCCCAGUUACCACUUGGAAGUUGGACCCAAAAUUGCAAUACCUGAAAAAAGAAUGUUUUCUCUAAUGUUUGUUGGACCAAACCAAAAAAAAAAUAUCAAUCUUAAGCAUACCUUCUUCCGAGCAUAUACGCUUGUGUCGCUCCACCUGCGGUCCGUACUCUGAGGCAAGGGCACGAUAAGAUCUCCAUCAACAAGUGAAGACACCUCCCCAUUUGAAACGCUGUACGGUGAAUCCUCAUUACCAUUAUCCACUCCCCCAACAGAAUCUCCAGUUCCCUUGAACCCAUUCUUCAAGUGACCAUUUGGUGGAAUGGUCACAGAAACACUUGAUCCAGAGGAGUCCUCAAGGGGUGGUGAAUCAAGGAAUCUAUAAUCCGCCGGCAUCGAUUUAAGUGACUGAACAGAUGGCUUAACCUUCUGGGACAUUUUUCCUGUAGGAGAGAGAGAAGAGAACUGUUUAGUUCAAAAGAACCGAGACCAUAAAGACAAAAGCACUUGUGGUUUGCUUUUAGAAGAAGACAGAGACCAAAGUUUAUAUCGCAGAACAAUAAAGAAGGACCAUACUUUUAGGAGGAUGUAGACUAAAGUAUUCAGUCAUGCACAGUCGCUAUUACAUAGUGUUUCACAAUCAAGCAAAAAGGAAAAGAUUGAAAGAUUAAGCAAUCUAUGGAAAUAAUCUAAAGCGAAAAUGUAGAGACUUUCUGGUUCCCCUGUCUAAAUUAAGUAAAAGCAAUGCAAGAUCCAAUGGAUUCACCUCAAGAUCUCACUCAAAAAUAACAAAUCUAAGUCUUGUUCUUACACAGCUUUUGAUCUAAUGAGAUCUAAAAAAAAACACUCAUCUCAUGAUUUCUAAAAAGGAAGACUGCUUUCACAUAUACAAAUUUUGUUUUCUUGAUUUCGUUAGAAAAGAUCAAGAAGAGUAAAGAUUGGAAGUUGUGAAAUUAAUUACCUUUAAAAAAGAAAAAAUAGGAAACCAAAUCAGGAACCAGUUUUAAUGGUGAAAGACUUGAGAUUCACAAGAAUUUGAUUCAACCGAUGAGAUAGAUCUUGGACAUAGAUACAAACAUUCACACACACUUUAUAACUUUCCGUGAUUCUCUAGACGUAGACUCAGGAAACGAUGAAAUUAAAAAUGAGUAUUAACACUUUGGAGGGGGUCUACAGUAACAAUAGUGAGUAGGAAAAUUUAGAGAGAAGAUGAGAAAAUUUGGAGAGAAAAUCGGGAAGAAGAUGCAACUUCUUUUCUUCUUUCUCUGUUUAGUAAAACUGUUCUCUUCUCUUUGUAAAUUUUCUUCUUUUUUUUUUUUAAUUUUGGUCAUCCGAUUCCGACAGUUUUGAAUGUCUUUUUUGGCCACCACCACCACCAGUGGAAUUUUCAGCAACCUCACGUGGUCAAAAUUCCGAUUAUGCCCUUCUAUAUUUUUAUUAACCGAUUUUUUGUUUUUCAAAUUAUGUGAUAUUACAAAGUUAAAUGUCGAUAAUUAAUGUUUUCAAAUUUUAAAUUAUAACUAAACGGAACUAUUAAUUCGAUUUUUUUCUAUUAUUAUAUCCAUACAAAUGAUUAAAUACGUUACUUUGAACUACACAGUAUAUGAAUUGUAUUUAAAUGAUAACCAUUAUGAUAUCUAAUUUUUACACAUUAAAGAGUACUUAAUAAUCCUAUAGAUUAAGAAGCUCGAGGGGCUAAUAUAAGUCUACCAAGUAAAAACUAAUAAAUUAAUUAGAAUUGGUCCAUGUUUCAACCACAUCUUCUAUUUAUGUAGUCAACUAUAUUAUAUUAAGAGUCUCUUCUAUUAAUAUGUACACCCUGAGCAUAUCUUAGCUAUAUUCGUUCAAAUUUUACCAAUUAAUAAAAAAACUUCAGCUAUUUUUCAACAAGAAUAAUAAUAACUGGUAGUUAGCUAGUAGUAUGCGGAAAGAACAUUUCCUUCUUUUUGGUGCCAAAAGAACAUUAAGAUCAUGAUAAAGACUGAUGCAGCCCACCCCCCAAGUGUUUGAGUUAGUACAUUCUAGGAAACACCUUGACAUUCUGAGGUUGCGAUAAAUUCUAUCUAUCCAUUCCACACUGUACUAUAGAUGUCAAUUUAAGGAUUUGGUACAACAUUUUAUUAUAGACUGAUGGUGCAGAUACAAUCAUUAAAACGAACAUAGAGACCAAUCAUGCCGGAACUUAUUACAGAACAACAACCACGAUUUGAUAGCAAUUACAGUACAUAUUUAAAAAAAGAAACUCACCUUCGUAAUAUACACUAACGAACCGAAAAAAAUAUAAAUACAUUUAGAUAUGUACAGAGAUUUAAGUGAAACCUCUCACUAAAAGCAAAUAUACAGUUUUCUUCUUACAGGUUUUUUGGAGUGUGUAAACAAAUGGCUUCUUUACACGUUUUCUUCCAAUCCAAGCAAAAGAGACAUUUCGGUUGUAACUGCACACAAACAAAACCAAUCAUUGAGUUUAGCUUUAAGGUAGAGAACAAAAACAUGAAGCAACUAACCGCCAUCUUAUGCAAAUCAAUCCCACGAGCUAUGACAACACAUAUGUUCUGACCAGCCACCUCAAUCACGGUUUCAUGGUACUAAGAGGCCUACCCUCAGAUAUAAAGUUUAAAUGUAACAUACUAGACCGGUUAGGCUCAAGCUGGCUUAAUCACCAUAGUAAUUAGUAAGCAAGUAAUGUGCCAUAAUCGAAAGUACAAUCAACCAAUGUUGAAGUAAGAAGUUAUCCUCAAAUAGAUUCUAAAUUCCACAAACCUCCGCUUUUUCAGAACCAAAAUAAAAAACAGAGGCAAACAAGAAGUGUUUAUUCGACAAGUCGAUGAGAAAAUCACAUUCCAGAUCCAGCGUCAAGACAUAAACUUUAAGCUUGUAAGCAAAACCAAGAAACUCAAAACACCACAACAUCUUACUGCAAUGAACAUUUUCCCUCCUACAAAGCUUCAACAUCAAACCAAACCAAAACAAAAGUAAUGAGUUUGAGCAUUAUAUGUACCGAAUCUCUUAUAAUCACACUCUAAUUGCCGAGUCCAAUAAAAAAAUAACUCUAUUUAUCUUCGAACAAUAAAAAACUAUAAAGUAAACGACUUUUUCACACAGACAACAACACAAAUAAAAAACUAACAAGACUGGUCGGAACCAAGAUCCGACAACCACAAACCUCAAUCCAACUCGUCUGGCCUAGUAUCCAUAUCAGACCCACUCCCAGAAUCCGAACCCGCAUCAAGUCUUCUAAACCUCCUCUCACCCUCCCCUCCUCCUCGCCUCCUAUUCUCAUAAUCAACAUCGUACGUACGCAACUCAUGCCUACAAACAGGACACGUGUUACGCAUCCGCAGCCACGGAAUCAAACAAUCCUGAUGGUACACGUGUCCGCAAGGCAUCUCUUUAACACCAACCCCAUCUUCAAACUCAUCCAUACAAACCGCGCACUGAUUCAUCUCCGAUCGCAUCGUCACUUUAACAGUAGGUAACGCGUCGACGGCGGAUUUAGAAGCCGGAGGUGGUCCGUAACGGUUCGGAUCGUCUUCACCUAGCUGCUGGAUCAGAUCCUCGAGACCACCACGCCCAAAGUAAUCACCGUGGUGGUGGUGGUGGUGAUUCUCGAAGAGCAUUUGAACGUUGACGCCGCUUGAUUGGAGCUGCUGGAGGUGGCUGUGGAUGAAGCUCACGGGAUCGAAUGCGUCGGGGUCGUGAUCGAGGUUCGUGAAGUCCAUGACUGGAAUGAAGGGGAGGCGUGAUGAGGGUGGAGGAUCUGAGAUCGGGAAGAUUGGAUCUGUGUGUUCUUCGAGGAAGCCUAGGUUGCAGAGGGGGCAGAAAGGAUCGGCGGUGGGGGAGAUGGUGAUUGUGAUUGUUUGGUUGCAUUGGUGGCAGAAGAACGUCUUGUCCGUCUCCGCCGUGGCGACGGAGGAUUCUGUUGAGUUUCCGGCGGAUGACAUGAUCGGGAAUCUCGGAAAUGUUGGAGAGGAUGAAAUGGGCGGAGAGAGAGAGAGAGAAGUUCAAUCCAAUCUGUAUGAGUUGCAUACGGUUUUGAUCCAAACCAAACAUGCCGAACCGAAAUCGAACUUAACCGUAAAAUUCUCGGUUUAAUUUGAUAGAUUUUCCAGGCGUUCUGAUGCUGGUUCGGAUAUUACGGUUUAAAAAUCUAUAAUCCUCUUAAAUAUUUUUUAUAUUUCUUCAAAUUUUUAUAUUUAAUUCGAAUUUGAAUUGAUAAGCUUCGGUUUCAUAUAUUUUCAAAUAACUGAAUAUCUGAAUUUUAUUUUAAAAAUUCAAAAAUAUUUUAUAUAUAUUUAGAUGACUGAGUAUCUGAAAUUUAUUUUAAAAUCUUAGCAUAUUUUUCGAUUAUUUUUUUUUCCAUUGAAGAUUUGAUUAUAGGUCUGACUGAUAUAUAGGUUUUCGAGGUUUUUUGAUUAUGUAAACACAUAAAAAUCAAAAUUUUGAAUAUCAGUUAUAUUUUUUUUUCCGUCUAAGUAGAUUUUUAAUUGAAAAACGGCCGAAGCCCAGUGAAAGCAUACAGACACCCGAAGGCCCACAUCGAAAGCCCAUAAAAAGAAACCAAACAAAUUAGGCCCAAGCCCAUUACCCAAACACCCCAUUCUCGACAACAAGCGAUUCGCCCUAGCUCAGGGCCCAAACCCGCAACGUCGCCACCACCGGGAGCACCUACGUCGGAGAGGACGCGUCUCACUGGCCAUUACAGGAACAUACAACACUGUGACCGGCCUAAUCCAUGACCUCCACACCCUUUUAACCGCAGCCGUGAGUUACUCGUGUGUUAUCUUUAUCGGAUAGAUCAAUCGCCGUAGCGAGAUCACAUCCGCCACCGUUCGAGCAAACACCCGAGGAACAUCACCGCCGCACAGAACAUCACCAACUUGCAAUAGCCACCUCUCUCUUCCACCCACGAGAGAUCGCCCUCGGUUCUCAACCGACAAACUCAAGAAAAAAAUGAAAAGACAAACCCUAAACCAAAUCUAGAUUAAAAACAAGAGCCGACGAGGUAAGGUAAAGAGAUCCUUCACCCCUCGGAGCACGAACCGGCGACGCAGAGCUGGGUAAGCCUCCACCUCCCGGAGACUUUGCCGACGACGCAGAGCUGAGGAAGCCUCCACCCUCCCGGAAUCUUAAACGGCGACGACGGAGCUAUCAUAGCCUUCGCCUCCCGAAGCAAAAACUAACCUCAAACGAAAAACUGUAGCGACUAACCGCCGUCCUACAUCCUCACUACGAAUCCAGAACAGGAGGAUUUGCCGCCGAUUGAAGCUCUCCAUCAGCAGAACUCUUCCCGGAACAAACCCUAACCCAGAUUCGGAAAUAUAUCGGAAGGGACACCGGAUCGAAGCACACAGAGUAAAUCUAGACUGGAUCGACAAGAGGAAGAGCCACCGGCGCCGGCACGCGCUCGGACGCGCAGCCGGACGCCGGCCUUCUUCUCAGACGCGUUUUCUCUCUUUCUCUCUCCUCUCUCUCUCCUCUCUCUUUCCUCUUCUUCUCUUUCACCUCACUCCAGUGAAUAUCAGUUAUUAUCCUAUCAAAUUUAGAUAUUCAAUUUGGUUCAGAUAUCUUCUCUGACUCAAAACUAAGCCCUACUCGUUGGAGUCAUGGGCUAUAAUAUAGGCUUGGUCCAGUAAAGGUUUGUAGUUUUAUGAAGGUGUUUUGUUUAUUUCUAAAAGUACGAGACCAAAAUUGAAAGAAUCGAAAAGUAGUGGACCUUUAAGAAAAAAAAGUCAUCACCUAGCUUUCGUUCCUAUGACCACACAAUCGUUUUUAUUCUGCAUCAAGCGAACGUCAUCAUCUUCCACUGAGGAAAAGGAGGAGGAAGAAGCAAGCAAUGGAUUGUAUCGUCUCCAGCUCGACGGUUCUUAUCCGAUCACAUCUCACUCCAAUUCGCUCAGCUUCCUCCGUAUCCGCCAAACCUCUAAGCUCAGCAAAAGUCGCGUCCUUCGCGUCUAACCGCCACAUACUCUCGUUCAAGUCCGGUGGUAAAAGAAUCAGAACACUCUCCACCAACGCUUCGAGUUCUACGAUAAGGUGCGGUGGAAUUAAAGAGAUUGGAGAGAGUGAGUUUACCAGCACGGUUCUUGAAUCGGACCGGCCGGUUCUGGUUAAUUUCGUCGCCACGUGGUGCGGUCCCUGCAAGUUGGUCUAUCCAGCCACGGAAGCUUUAUCUCAGGUUAGCUCUUCUUUAUAGGUUUCUUGAAAUCUUGUUGGUUUCUUGAAAUCUUCUUUAUAGGUUUCUUGAAAUCUUGUUGACUUCUUUUUUUUUUUUUUUAAUCUUGUUGACUUCUUCUUUCUUUCUUGUAGGAGUAUGGUGACAGGUUGACGAUUGUGAAGAUUGACCACGACGCGAAUCCUAAUUUGAUAGCAGAGUACAAGGUUUAUGGUUUACCGCAUUUUAUACUCUUUAAGGAUGGUAAGGAAGUUGCUGGUAGCAGAAGGGAAGGUGCGAUUACUAAAGCUAAGCUUAAGGAGUACAUUGAUGGUCUCUUGACCUCUAUAUCCGUUGCUUAAUCGUCACUCUCUGUUUCUCUCCGCUUGUAUUUUCUCAUUCCUCGACGACACUGUUUGUCUUGUAAACACAUUCUCUUGAGUUGUGAUGAUCUUCAUCAACUGUUUUGUUACCAAAUGUGUAAAUCUAGCAACAGAUUAUUCUUAAUACAAGACUUUGAGGUUUGUGCAUUGGUGAACUCGUUUACUAAUAUGAUUAACUGAUAUAAUCCACAUUAGUCCUAGUUACAAGCUAAUUUGUAGGUGAGCUCGCUCUACCUUUGAAUUUUAGAUAACUUUGGUUAUAGGCUAAUUGUCCGGUAAAAUUACACUAACUUGUACAGAUGUGUAUCAAAGUCUCAUUGGUCCUUUCACUAAACAAGCUAGCUUUUAGGUUUGAUUUUACCUUUAGACGUUUGGUUAUGGCCAGUUGUACAUCAAAAUUAUACUAACUGAUACAAGUGUGUAUCAAAGACUUUGAGUUUGAUUUUGAUACAAUCUUUACUAGAAGCAUGACUAGUCAUUGCAUUGGUGAACUUGUUUUUGACAUUUUGUUAGCAUCUUAAGUUCAUUUGGCAGUUAAAAGGAAUAGAUAGAAAGAAAGUCAACUUGAUGCAAAUUAGAAAACUCUGCUUGGAUUUAUUGGAAAUGAAUCAAUUAAAAAAAAGAAAUCAACAUUAAAGACUCUUUUUUUUUGUUACAGUUUCCAUUCUUCUUCUCCUCUUCUGGCCUGCAGAUUCUCAAAUCUUGUUGGCUUAUUCCCUUGAAAAAAGCAACCAAGCACCAACACCUAAGCAAACACCAACGCCUAGACUUUUCUUCUUAAACCUCCUUGACGUAAGUCUCUCCACUUCCUCCAAUAACAGCAUCAUCUGGGACGUAACGUUUCCAGAACGGAUGCGCCUUCCACACCCUUCCCAUCUCUUCAAUAGGAACCCCCUUUGUCUCCGGAAACAAGAAGUAGAUGAAGAUGGUCAUGAUCAGAACCAUUCCUCCAAAGAAGUAGAAGAGACCAAACUUCAUGUGGCAAAGCAUCGUCAGGAAGAACUGUCCAAUGAGGAAAGUGAAGAACAUGUUGACAGAAACAUUGAUGGCUUGUCCCGCUGGUCUUACUUCCAAUGGACAGAUCUCACUUGGUACUAACCAUCCUAAUGGACCCCAUGACCAUGCAAACCCUGCAACGUAAAUGCAUAUGAAAGCUAGAACCCAAUCUGCUGUUGCAGGUGUCAAGGUCCCUGAUCCUGUGGUUCCAAACUUCGCACCGAUCAAGCUUCCGACAAUGAUCUACAAAAUGAUACAUGUUAAGGUGUGCAAGCAUCAUACAGAACCUGAAGCUGUUUUUGUUUUACCUGGCAAAUGAUCAUUUGAAUGCCACCUUCAAGGAAGAGGAGCCUUCUUCCAUACCUGUCAACCGCAUAGAUGGAGACAAGUGUAGAGACAACAUUGACCACACCGGUAAUAACCGCGGAGAUGAGCGAGGCAUCAUCUGCGAAACCAAGAGUUUUGAACAGAACAGGAGCGUAGAACAUGAUCACAUUGAUACCAGUGAACUGUUGGAAGAAAGGAAUCAUAGAACAGAACACAAGCGCUGGUCUGUAUUUAGCUUCUUGGAAGAUGUUCUUCCACGGAUGCUCCACUUUCUUAGCAGACUCACAAGCAUCGCAAAGAUCUUGAAACUCCUCGUCUACGUUAUCAGCUCCACGAAUCUUCUGCAACAUCUCUCUCGCUUGUUCGUACUUGCCUCUCUCGAGCAUUGAGUUUGGCGUGUCGGGCAAGACAAAAGAUCCAAUAACCAUUACAACUGCUGGAACAGCAGCUAGACCUAGAGACACUCUCCAUCCGUUCCUAGCCAUUUGAGAUGUUCCGUAGUUGAUUAGGUUUGCAAUCAAGAUUCCAAUAGUAAUCGCCAUUUGAAAACCAAUGUUGAGUGCUCCUCUGAUCUUGGCAGGAGCCAUCUCUGAGAGGUAAACCGGUGUAGACUGUAAAAAGAACCAGAGGAUUAGCCAUGCAAAAAUCAUAUCAAAACCGGAAAAAAAAACUGCAUAUUCCUUUGUUAUUUUCCUAAAUAUAAUUAUUUCACCAAAUAUUCUUAUACAAAAUUAUUAUACCGAAGAGUCUUUAAUAUUCACUAAUUUAUUCAAAAUUUUAUUUAAUAUGUUUUUGGCUUGUGGAGUCAAAUGAACCAUGUUGAGUCACCUGAUUAGCGAACCCAACACCAACUCCAAGCAACAAUCUACCGAUGAUGAGCAUAGCAACGUUGGUUGCAAAUGCGUUGAAUAGAGAACCUAUGAGGAAAGCAACACCACCAACAAACAUGGAGAUUUUGCGUCCGUACUUCCUUGUGACAGCCGAAGCUGCAAAGGAAGAGACGAGAGCCGCGAGGUAGAGGGAGGAAGUGAACAACUGGAGUAACUGGUUGUCGAAUUUGCAGUAAGCCGUCUCGCGUCUAGCAUUGUGCAUUUGCCUAUCAACCUCCGGGAAAAACUUGCUUAGAAACUCUUCCAUUGAUGUUACUCCUCCUGAAAAAAUAAAACACAUUUCAUUGCAUGAAGAUUUUGAACCGAACCGAACCAAAAACCGAGCAAGAUUUUGCAUGUUGUAAAAUAUAAUAAGCUAAACAACUUUGAAUAAAAUUCAAAUUAAAGUAAAAGUAUGAAAAUAUUUUUUUUAAUUUUAAAACAAGAAAAAUCUUCUAAAACAUUAUAUGUUAUAAAACUGAGGAAAUAUAAAGUUGCAUGUCGGAAACGAACUAUAAAACUAAGAAAAACGAGUGUGCACUCCUAUAAAAUAAGAAGAGGAGUAUACAGACCUGAGAUUCCAAGGUCGUAACCGAAGAGGAGACCUCCCAUAGCGGCCACGAUACAUGUCAUGAUGACAAAACCAGUGACUCCACCUUCAUAGCUUCCUCCUCCACUACCCUCUGAUACAAAUGCUCCUCCAGCCAUUAUUACGUUAUUCUUGACUUAUUAGUUAGUCGUUAGUUAUUACUUAUUGCCUUUCGCUUUGUUAUUCAAACAAAAACUUGAAGCGUUUGAUCUAAAACUUGAGGUUGUGAGCUUCUUAUAUACAAGAUUUUUAGUGAUCUAUUAUUAGGUAUGGAUUGUGAUAUGAGGUGUUUGAGAUUUAACUUGGCUUACGAAUAGGGGAAGUGGUUUUGUUUUUUUUUUUAAUUAUGUUCUUUAAACCCUACUUUAGUGGAUACUUGACUGUCUUUUUAAGACUGUUUCUUUUAUUUUUUACAGACAAUUUGCGCUCUUAUUUCUUUAAUUUUGUUUUAAUUUGCGCUAUUUGUUUUAUUACAAAUAGAACCUUGUAAUAACAAUUUCAUAAUUGAAAUUGAAUGUGAUAAAUAUUUGGAUUACAUUAUGUCAUGGUUUUAAAAAGCGGUCUAGGUAACGAAUCCUCUCUAACCUAAACGAUUUUCUUAAAAUAUGAUUUAUAUGAUUCAAAUCAGUUUAAACUAUUUUAAAUUGGUUUAAAUUAUUCUAAAACAGUUUAACUCGAUUUAAAUUAGUAUAAAUAUGUUAAAUUAAUUAAGAAUCUUAGUAAAAUUUAUAAAUCUGUUUAAUUUCUUUUAUUUUGUAUAUUUAAUUUUGAUAUUUUAUCAGAAUAAUUUAUUAUUAAACCAAAAAUUUAAAAUAUCUUAUAUAAAUGUAAAAUGUAUAUAAAAUAAAUCAAUAAUUCAUUAAUGUCUAGUUCCCGUCUAAGCUCCGAAUAAUCUGCCCAGACACUAGUCUUCUAUAGAACACCUAGUUACUGCCUAGCGAUUUCUAAUACAUUGCUUUAUGUCUUAAGUUUUUUGAACUCUUUGUAUUAAAAUGUUUUUUGGGAAUUUUCUUAUUCGGUUGUAUGAUGGAAUUGGUUAUCUCAGAUCGAAUGUUAUAUAUUUGAUUAAACGGAGAAGUGGAACCCUCUUUAGUUAAGUUAUUUAAACCCUAUUUUAGUGUGGGAAUUGACUGACCGGUUUUUUUGUUUCUUUUUACAAACAAUUUUCGCUCUCAUUUCAUUAAUUUUGUUUUAUUACGUAUUUACAUUAGACUGUAUAAGUAAAAAAAAAAUACCUACCCGAAAAUAGAAUGUCGUAAAAUUUCGUACUUAAAUAUCUUUCCAACAUAGUCAGUUUUUAGGAAUAUUGAUUCUUUGUAUUGGAGAAUCAAUAAUGUUGUUGGUCGAUAUAUUUUUCCUAUAAAUGGUGUGGUACUUUGAAAAGGUUGGAAUGCUAAAAAUAUAUGAUAAUAUUGAUAGGGAUCUUACACAUUCUCAGAUUAGCAGAGAUGGAAUCGGUUUCUAUGAUCGUAUGCGCAUUUGGAAAUUGUCUUACAUACGACACAAAUUGUUUUAGUUGAGGCAUUAAUUUAGGCGAUAAAUGUAUGAUUGUUAACUGUUUUUUUUUAUAACUAGGGUCGGCCCGCCAUACGGGCAGGAUAUUAGGUAUUAUAUAAAUUUGUACUUAACUUUAUAUUUUAGCGUAAAAUGUAUCACCGAUAUUAGGUAUUAUAUAAAAAAUCUAAUAUUUAUAUAAUAAUAUCCAUGUCUAAGAUAUAUAGCUAACAAAUUUUUUAAAUAAAAAGUAUAAAAAUAGACAAUUAUGAAUUAGUAUGCUAUUUAUAAAUGAAACAUUAGUUAUAAUAUUUGUAAAAAAAUAAAAUGAUUGUUAAACUUCUAUGAAAUUUAGAACAUAUACAAAUUAAGAUUGAAAAUAAAAUAUAAUAUAAAUUUGAUGUAACGAUAAGAACUUAUAAAUGAGUUUAAAUUUGUGUACAUUUAAACCAUGAUCUUGCAGAUGUUUGAUUUUAUUUUUGUAAAUAAAUAUUUAUUUUGUCUAAGUGAUAAUAUGUAUUUUAAAAUUUUACCCGUUAAAUAAUUAUUUAAUAAAAUUUAUAAGCAUAAUAAUUAUAUAGUUUAUAUUUUAAAAUUUUAUUUUAUCUCGUAAACCGUCAAUUGUAUUACCACCAUUUUUAGAAUAUGAUCCUUGUAUCUAUUCAAAUGUUUUAUUUUGUUUUUUUUUUGUGGAUCAAAAUUUUAUGAGAAUGUCUAAUAAAUUAUUUUAUAUAUUAUAUGGUAAGUUUGUAAAUAAUUAUAAUGGUGCAUGUAAUAUAUUUAUAUUGGUAAGAAGAAGAAUUUGUUCAAAAAAAGAAGAAGAGUAAGGUGAAUUGUGGGAGAGAAUGAGAUAAAAAUGUAAUUUAUAUUGUCACAUAAAUAUUUUUUGUAUAUUAUUGAUAUUCAUGAAUGUUUAUAAUAUUAAUAUGAUAUAGAUAAGUUAAAAGAUUUAUAUUUAUUUGAUUGUGAAUUUAAUUUAGAAAAUAUUUUAUUAAUUUUUAAAAAGACAUGGAAAGCAUAAAAUUAGGAGUAAUUAUUAGUUCAUCAAUUUUAGAAAAGACAAAAUUACUUAAAAGUAGGUUCAUUUAAUUAUUUCAGUGGCAUUAAACUGUAAAUAUUGUGUAAGUUUAAGGAUUAGUCUCAAUGGGUACUUCUCUUUUAAUAGAUUAGAUUUGUUAUAUAAUUUUGUGGUUUGUGUUUUAAUUUUACGUUUGUAAGAGGUGCGUAUGAGAUAUACUAUUUUAUUAAUUUAAGUUGUUGGUUACUUUGUAAGUAAUUUGUGUUUUAACUCUUUUUUUUAUGACAUCACCAUAAUUAAGUUGUUAUGUCAUUUUCAGUUGAAUUUUUUUAUAAAAAUAUUUUUUUAAAAAAAAAUCACAUUUAGUUAAAUACAAUAACUUUACAUUUGUGUUCACAAUACUUAUAAAAUAUAUUUAUUUUAUGCUUAAAACUAAUUUAAUGUAAUUUACCAUUGACCUCACUAAAUGUUAGUGAUUUAUUAUAUAUUAACAUCUAAACAAUUUUAGUGUUUGUCCAUUUUAAAGUAGGAGCCUGAGUCCGUGUACUGAUCCUUAUAGUUUGUCUUUUAAAUGUUGUUUGGGUUAAUAUGACAUUUUUUUAGUUUAAAAGUUAAACAAAUUUUAAGUUUUGGACCUUUAGUGUGAGGCCCAUAAGUUAAAAGGCUUAUCUAACUAUUCGAGACACGUCCAACAAAUCGGACGCAGAAGAAGUUUAGGAGUUACUCUCUAACAGAUGGCUAGAUUCCCCCUUCUCUGUUUUCUCUUUGCGGCGGCGCUAACUUCAUCCCUGACAUCUGCCGGCGACGAAAAACAUGUAUAUUCGCCUUGUUCAGAUUCCACCGCGCGGUCUGCAAUGGAUUCAUUUUUGGAAUUGCCUUCAUGGCUAAAGAUUUUUUCUUUGGCACCAAUCGUUCUGUUCAGUAUUCUCCAUGCGAUCAUUGCCGCCUCUCGCUCCAUGCGAUCGUCGCCGCCUCUCGCUCAACGGAAACUCUGAGCUCGUUGUGUUCAGACCCAAAGUCGAUGAGAUCACCCUUCUCACCAUCAAUACCUCUUCCAGUUCCUCUAGUUAUUGUCCAGUUCAAUCUCGUCUCUCUGAUCUAUAAUGGUGAAUUUAGGGUUUUGAUUGUAGAUUUUGAUCUAUUGUUGAUUGGAUCGAAGUUUAUAUGCCCGGAUUAGUUUAGUUUAGUUGACUUGUCGAGAUCCAAAACCCAAGUUGAAGUCCAUGAUUCUACAGAUUAAUUGAAAAGCAGAGUAUGAGUGGCCUGGACAGGUGUCGACACCACAUGACUCGACUUUGUGACCUAAUCGUUCUGUUCAGUAUUCUCCAUGCGAUCAUUGCCGCCUCUCGCUCCAUGCGAUCGUCGCCGCCUCUCGCUCAACGGAAACUCUGAGCUCGUUGUGUUCAGACCCAAAGUCGAUGAGAUCACCCUUCUCACCAUCAAUACCGCUUCCAGUUCCUCUAGUUAUUGUCCGGUUUGUUCUCGUCUCUCUUAUCUAUAAUGGUGAAUUUAGGGUUUUGAUUGCAGAUUUUGAUCUAUUGUUGAUUGGAUCGGAGUUUAUAUGUCCAGAUUAGUUUAGUUUAGUUUUGCUACAAGAAAAAAUGCUUUUCUUAGCAUAAGAAAAAAUGCUUUUCUUACUAUGACAUGUCACUGUUAGCGUUAUUGAAACCGCUAUGUCUACCCAAGCUAUAAUAGGUCUCUCCUAUUAAUCAUAGCAGUUUUAUAAAUGCUAUUAUCGCUAAACAAUAUAAUAGCUUUUUUAUACUUUGCUAUUGAGUAACAUUAUAAUUUAAAAAAUUAAUCCAGAAUUUGAUUUAUAAUUAAAAAUAAAUAAUAAUUUAUUAUAAUUUUAUGAUAAUUAAAAUAAAUAAAUUAAAAUGGAAUUACAAUUAAAAUUCAGCUUACAAAACUAAACCAGAAUUAACAAAAAAAAUUAAACCAUCACAUCUACCCAAAUAGGUUUACACUAAACCAAAUCUUAGAAAAAAAAAACCUAAACCUAAAAAAGAGACAGCCUCCACGAGCCUUCCUCUUCCAGCCGCAAUGAGAUUUGCCUCCAGCUGCCUUGAGCCUUUCCUCCUCCAGCCGGCUCUACCAUCUCACUCUCGUGAACUGCCGUAAACCACUGCCUCCUUCCUCCUCCGGCUCUACCUUCGCACUAUCUUUCUCUGUAUUCUCUCGAUCUCCUUCUCCAUCGAUGACUUUUGGGGCGAGUUCGAGAGUGGUGGUGACAGAGCGAGCUUGAGACCAUUGACGACGGAGCGAGCUCGAUACAUUGACGAUGGAGCGAGCUCGAUACAGUGACGACGGAGCGAGUUCGAGACUGUGACGACGGAGCGAGCUCGAGAUGGUGACGACGGGGCGAGACGGUGCGAGCUUGAGACCAGUGACCAUGGGGGCGAGCUCGAGACCAUGACGACGGCGACGAUGUCAUCGAAAGAGACACAAAGAAAGUGGUGGUGAUGAGCGUGACGGCUUUUCGAGAUCUAAAACCCACAUUAAAGCCCAUGAUUUUACAGACUAAAUGAAACGCAGAGUAUCAGUGGCCGAGACACGUGUCAACACCACAGAAGUCGACUUUCUGACCUGGAUGCUGAGGUGGCACAACAGGAAAGAGGCAAACAAUUUUAUAUAUAUAUAGAUUACGACUAGCUUCCAAAUAGACUGCUCAAAGCCAAUGAAAAUAAUACAACAAUGAGGAUUCAAACAAUCUUUUUUGGGGCUCACCAUAAGCAUAAGCCCCAAAAGCAGCAAUACUACCAUAUGAAUGUCACAUUCUGAAUAAAACGUCUGGACUUACCAGAUACAUGAUUUGGAGGUGGAAUGACCGGAAGAAAGAAUGUUGGAACUCCAGAAUUUUCAGGCCAAACUGAUAAAGUAGCUAGCAUGCAGCAACAGUUUUGUAUAAACGUUCAAGUCAUUUACAUACUGCAAAGGGUUGUUUACGAGGUUCUCAUAGACUGCUAGAGCGUACAGACAUGGAAACUUCCCACACGUACAGGUGCAUGGCUCAGCUGGACAGAGACCACGGUUUUGAUGUCAGUUGUCCAUGAGUCUAACGUUUCCAAAGAAUUAAAAUUUCGUUUUUAUUUUUUUAAUUUAGUUAUACAUUUUAUUUGAUUAAUAUUUAGUUAUAUAAUUCAUGUUUAUAACUUUUUACUAAAAUACCUUUUCAUAUAACAAUACAAUCAGGAGCUACCGAUAUUUGCCAAUGGAGACAGAACAAGCAGGAGGAAGGAGGAGGAGGAUCAACAUCAACACAAAUGUUGUUUUUAACUUCCAAAUACAAUUCCACCAUGUGUUUAUACAAGGAUGAAUGCUUGGAAGCUCAAGUAUAGUCUCUAAACUACGGGAGAAUGUGCAUACCUAAACAGGAUGGUUUUACAGCUUCAGUAACUCUAGAUCUUGAUUUCUAUUAUUUUCUAUUUUGGAUGGGUUUGUCCACUACUCUAAACCUCUUGCAGAUUGAAAAAUACUUAAGCUUAACACACACACACAUACUAUUUGUUUAUUACCAAAAGCUCUCUUUAACGAACCGGAAUAAUUUUCACAUACAAACCAACCCAAAUUUUAUUUUGGAUUAAUUUGGUAAAAUUAAGUUGAACCAAAUAAAAUUUAUAAAUUUCUUAUAUAUGUACUAGUUAUUUAUAAAAUUUUAUAUAUUUAAAUUAAUGAUGACAUAUAUGAGGAUCAUAGUAUAAAAUAAAUUUUUUUUUGAAGUUAAGUUUGAAUUUUUGAUUUUGAAUAAUAACACAUUUAAACUUCAAAUAUAGUAGUAUACUAGGUGUUUUGCCCGCGAUGCGGGCUUAAACAUUUUCAUAAUUUUUGAAAAGUUCUUUGUACACUAUAUACAUUAUACUAAAAUAAAUUUUAAAAUAACAUAAUAUUAUAUUUUUAAGUAUAUAAUUAAAAAAAAUAUUUGAUUAAUAUUUAAUUAUGUAAUUUAUGUUUUUAACUUUUUACUAAAAUACUUUUUCAGAUAACAAUACAAUAUUAUCUUUUUUAAUUAUAUUUUUUAAUUUUGGAUAAUUCAAUAUUCUAUUUUUAAUUACAUAAUUAAUAAUUUUAUUUGAUUAAUAUUUAGUUAUAUAAUUUAUAUUUUAAACUUUUUACUAAAAAACUUUUUCAGAUAACAAUAGUAUUUACAUGAAAAGUUUUCCCUGAAAUUUAUUGACUUUUAACGUGAGAGCAUUCUUACUAUUACUAAUUUUAAUCAAUUAUCUAAUCAAAUAAAUUAAAAUUUCGUUUUUAUUUUUUAAUUUAGUUAUACAUUUUAUUUGAUUAGUAUUUAGUUAUAUAAUUCAUGUUUUUAAUUUUUUACUAAAAGAGUUUUUCAGAUAACAAUACAAUAUAUACAUAAAUUAUCUCUUUUUAAAAUUAUAUUUUGAGAUUUUGGAUAAUUCUUACUAUAUUAAUUUUAAUGAACUAUCUAAUCAAAUAAAUUAAAAUUUCGUUUUUAUUUUUUUAAUUUAGUUAUACAUUUUAUUUGAUUAAUAUUUAGUUAUAUAAUUCAUGUUUAUAACUUUUUACUAAAAUACCUUUUCAUAUAACAAUACAAUCUAUACAUAAAUUAUCUCUUUUUUAAAUUAUAUUUUCAAAUUUUGGAUAAUUCUUACUAUUAUUAAUUUUAAUCAAUUAUCUAAUCAAAUAAAUUAAAUUUCAUUUUUAUUUUUUAAUUUAGUUAUACAUUUUAUUUGAUUAAUAUUUAGUUAUAUAAUUCAUGUUUUUAAUUUUUUACUAAAAGAAUUUUUCAGAUAACAAUACAAUAUAUACAUAAAUUAUCUCUUUUUUAAUUAUAUUUUCAGAUUUUGGAUAAUUCUUACUAUUAUUAAUUUUAAUCAAUUAUCUAAUCAAAUAAAUUAAAAUUUUGUUUUUAGUUUUUAAUUUAAUUAUACAUUUUAUUCAUUAAAGGUAUAAACGUUAUUAACCACUCUAACUUUUAACGUGAGAGCUCGAUUCCAAAAAUUUACUUCGCAAAUAUUAGUAUAGAUUCUUUUGGAUAUGUUCCUAAAAAGUUUUUUUUUUGUGUUUAUAUAUACUACAAAUUUUUUUUUUAUAAAAAUCAAAAUUCAAAUAACCAAAAAUCAAUUGAGGUUACCCUUAUUGAAUUGUAAGUGCCUUUAUCCGCGAGAUAUCUCAGUCGACUGCUAACCCUAUUCCGACGAACUCUCCAUCGCCGCUUCACCCUAAUCCCUGGUUAGAUUCUCUUUUCUUUUCAUCCUUUUCUCGUUGCCAUGUGCUGGAUCGAACAUUGUAUCUCUCUCUCUCUCUCUUUUUGUUCUAUCGAGCUCAAGCUUUGAGGUUCUUCGAUUCUUAGUGUUAAAUCUAGUCCUAUGGCUCAUCGUCGUCGCCGAUGUAUAGCAAAUUGUUUCACUCGUUUACACGCUUUCAAGUUUCGUAUCGAUCUAUCAGUCUCUCUAUGUAUAUGCUUGCGUUGAUCAAACAGUUGUGAAAUUAUGCAAUUGAACUUUAGUGUGUUUAUCGUCUACAGAUUCGUGACUUUUGAUGAAAUUGGAUUAAGAUGGCUACGAAUGGAUCAGUCUACGUUUCGAAUCUCCCACUAGGAACUGAUGAGAACAUGUUGGCUGAGUAUUUUGGAACCAUUGGGUUACUAAAGGUAUGGUAUUAGCCAGGUACUCUCAUUAUUUGCUUCUGUUUUUUUUUUAUUUAACAAUCUUUUAUGCACAACACGUCAGAGAUUCUUACUAUUUGGUUUUUGUAGAGAGAUAAGCGGACUGGUACUCCUAAAGUGUGGCUGUACCGAGACAAAGAGACUGAUGAGCCGAAGGGAGAUGCUACUGUUACCUAUGAGGACCCGCAUGCUGCUUUGGCUGCUGUUGAGUGGUUUAAUAACAAAGAGUUCCAUGGUAGCGUUAUUGGAGUUUUUAUGGCGGAGUCGAAGAGGAAAAGUGGAGGAGAUCAUCAGAGUGAGGGUUUUGGAUUCGAUGGAGGUGAUAUUGCUAGUAAGGAGACUAAUGGAGGUGGUGGUGGAAGGGGGAGAGGUCAGGGUGAUUCUUCCGCCAAGCCGUGGCAGCAAGACGGUGACUGGAUGUGCCCAAAUACCAGGUCUGUGAUAUUGGUGAGGAGCUUCUUCUAGCUCUUUGUUUCCGUUAAGCUCUAUAUUUAGUAGUAUUUUUUAGCUCUAGUGUUCUUAUACGAUUUUAUUGGCAGUUGUACAAAUGUGAAUUUUGCGUUCCGUGGGGUUUGUAACCGCUGUGGAACUGCUAGACCGGCUGGUGCAUCUGGUGGCGGCAUGGGUGGUGGGGGCCGUGGAAGGGGUCGAGGUGGAGGUGCUGAUGGUGGGCCACCGGGGAAGGGUGCUUCUACCGGUCUUUUUGGUCCAAAUGAUUGGUCUUGUCCAAUGUAAGCAAUCUGAUUAUGUCUGAAAUAAUAGUUGGGUUCACUUUUGACAUGAUGUGAGCGUUUAAUACUUGGUUAUAAUACAUUGCAAUAGAUAGUUUAUAUUUCAUAGCAAAAGAGGACAUUUCAGUGGCAUGUGGUGCUGCGGCUACCAGAUAUAAAACUAAUCCGUUGGAUGUAUGGAAUUAAAUAAAAGAGGACAUUUAAGAGGCUGCGCUCAAUUUUCUGUGUCAAAUACUAAGUAGUAUUUUAGGUUAAAAUUUAACUAAUAGGCUGCUUUUAUUGGGUUCUUAUACAUAAUGUAUACUUGUGUUGUUGGUACAUAUGCUUUGUUCCGGUCUUUGACGUUUUUAUGCUUUGGUUUUUAGUGCAGGAGCAGUCUAUAAUCCUUAUGUUCUAAUAUUUUAAUUAUCAGGUGUGGGAAUGUCAACUGGGCUAAGCGUUUAAAAUGUAAUGUCUGCAACACCAAUAAACCUGGUCAGAAUGAAGGUGGCGUGAGGUAUGUCUCAAUGUCAAUGAUAAGCUUGCCUUUGUAUUGUUCUUUUGCAAUAUUAGAGCCGAGGAAUAGUAUUAUAGAUGAUUUUGUGGGAAUUUACGAUACAUUUAUAGAUUUUUCGUUCGAUAUAAGUAGUUUUGAUGUCAGCAGGGUAUUCUUGUUCUUCUUUAGACAUGUCUCUGUAGAUAACUGGAAAAAAGAACACAAUGAUCUCUUCUGCGAUUUGACCGAGUGUUUUCUUUUUUACUCUGUUCAGUAUGAGAAAGGUGCUGCUACAUCAAAAUGUUCUUUUCGGCAAUUGAUUUAUCUCACUUGAAAUGUUUUUGUUGUAGUCAAAUUAGAGUCACAUUAAGAAACAUUAAGGAUUUAGCUUAACGGACUGUUGUUCUCUUAAAAUACCUCUACUCAUUCAUUUAUUUUCUCUAUGUAGGGGAGGUCGUGGUGGUGGCUACAAAGAAUUGGAUGAACAAGAAUUAGAGGAAACUAAGAGACGUAGGCGUGAGGCUGAAGAAGUAAAAAUAUGCUUUUGCUGAAGAGUUAUUUUGUUACUUCUUUUGUUGCAUUGAUUUCUAAGCUUUUGUAUAUACCAUUUAACUUAUGAUGUCAUAAAAUUUCAGGAUGAUGGUGAAAUGUAUGAUGAGUUUGGCAAUCUAAAGAAGAAGUACCGUGUUAAAACAAACCAGGCUGACACCAGACCUGUUGUUGCUGCUGGUCGUGCUGGGUGGCAAGUCGAGGAAUUAGGUAAGUUUUAACUUCAACUCAGAGAACUUCUCUAUGCAAAAUACAAGCAAUUUGACACAAAACUUGUGCUUCAGAAACAGAACCUUUAUGCUAUGAACAAAAUUAUUUGGCUUGAUAGGUAUGUGCUGACUGUAGUAAGGAUAGUCCCCAAAGAAUUGUUUUUGUUCGAGUAAAAUCAACAUAUUCUGCUAGAAGUUUGCACAUUUAAGCUUGAGGCUACAUGCCUAUACUUCCCAUCCUUGAGGGGAUCUCCAGUCAGUGAAUCCUUGUAAAAGUUGGUGUUUAUUUUGAGAGCUUUCUUCUUUAACCGAGUCUAUAUAAGAUGAAAGAGAUGAAAAGAUUAUGGUAAGGUCCUAAACUUAGUGCUGUAAUUCUCCCACCCGCGCAACCAAAUAAAAGAUGUUUGUUUUCUGCUUUGCACAAAAAAGUCAGGAUCUAGUGUGUUUAUUCGGUGUUGACGAUUUGUAUCUACCUGUGGCAGGUGUUGAUAGAGAUGGAAGAGAGAGAAGCAGAGACAGGCAAAGAGACCGUGGAGAUAAGCAUAGAGAUCAUCAUAAUUAUGAUAAGGAUAGACGGAGAAGCAGAAGCCGAGAGAGGGAAAGAGGAGGCAAGGAACGUGACUAUGACUAUGACCAUGAUCGGAACAGAGACCGAGACAGAGACUACAGUCGCGGAAGCAGGUACCGUAAUUGAGAGAUUGGUCAAAAGUGUUAGGUUUCAUUAGUCUAUCAUAUUUUCCAAUGUUUUAUCGACUUAUUCUACAUUUCAAUUCUCUGGCUUUUCUUUCUUCUUCUUUUGAUUGUGUGAAGUAAAAAACUCUGUUGGUGCUUCUAGUGGUCGGAUUAUGGUAUUGAUAUGACAUCAUUUUUUAAAGAAAGGAUAAGCAUGCUUACUUUCCUAAAACAUCUAUAUCAUUAUCUUACCAUUUUUACCAGAAGAAAAUAGUAUAAGCGAUGUUUUUUACAAAAUUUGCCGUAUGUUUCUCAAUUUACAGUUAGACUGAAAUGCAUAAUUAAAAAAAGAUGAGUUCAGGAUAAUCCACAAACCAAGAAACAUGUGCAAAAGCUCAUCUCAUACCGUGAAAGAGUAUAAGUAAGCAAAGAACAAGUGAUCCUUUGAUUUAUUCGGUUCCCCACACAACAUACGAAGAUGAUUUAGACUCCAAACUACUGUUUUUUCUCCCACUGAAAGUCUUUUGCAUAUCGCUGGUAAGGUAAUGAAAGCAAACCGCAAGACCCCUUGACUGAACAAGACCACACGUGCUGAUAUCAUGAAGUGGUGAUCUCAGAUAUGAAGGUUAAAUAAUACGUUCUAAAAUUAAUUUCAUUCCCAUCAACGUUAUCACAUUUUUUUCUCAUGAAGUCUCUCAAAAUCAAACCUAGCUUCCUCUAAACACACACACUUGGCAUACAUAUCAAUCAAUGUUGUUCCAAUCAAAAACAAACAUAGCUUCCGCAACGCAUGUGCAAAGACAUCUACUAAUAUCAGACACAAAUUUAUGACUGAGAAAAGCUUAUUCGGGGAUUUCUUAGCGGAAGUUAACAGUUGGAGUUAAUAUACUCAUUGCCGGUUCAUAUGUUGGUAGUAUUGGGCAGAUCUGGGUUCUUCGUACCAUUGGCUUAUGGUAAGAUAAUCCUUGUUUUAUUUGGUUAGAUAGCAUCUCACAAUUCCCAGACUAAGCUAACGUGACGUGACAUGGAUUAUAUAUAUAUUUGUAUUAUUGCUAAGAGUAAUCUAACAUUCAGAAAGGAGAAGGAAGAAAACAUGUGAGCAGUGGAGAUCACGUGAGGCAUAUGGAGGCCAGUUCAUCUUAUAGGUCCGUUGACUUGUACGUUUCCUUUACCCAUGUAUGAUGUUUCCCCCUUGUUUUAUAUUCUGAAAUAAUUUCAUUUUGUGAGUUAUGCAAUUAAUUUUAUGUUAUUUUAUCGAGUAUUUUGCAUGAAAUAACAUCGAUAUAGGUAAUACGUUUCUGUCUUAUCUCUAUUUCCAAUCCUCCUUUUAGUCGUAUUAUUAUAGUUUAUUUGAGUGGGUAAUGUUAGUUGAGAAGUAAUGAACAUUUUUAAAAGGUCAAGCUGAUAUAGUAUAACGUGCAAUGCAUAAUUCAUGUGAACUUACUUUAAACGUUAGUGUUUCUUUUUGGUUUUAAAGAGAGAGAAGAAUAUUUUGUAAUUAACAGAUUAGUAUUGCAUUAUUAUACAGGAACCACUUUUAUAAAGAGACAAUCCAAGUUUCAAACACAGUACUGAUAAGAUCACAAUUCUUUUUGGAGUUCAGGUACUUCAAUCUCUUUCUCAAUCUCUUCAUGUCUCUAUCUUUAAUUGUUAAUAUUGCUUCCAAAUCAAGAUCUUGUUUCUGAUAGAUUUAUUAAUCUUGUUGGAUCUUGCAUCCAAACUAAACCUACAACAUGUAUAAGUGGACUUUAGCUGAUGGUGUUUCUUGUUCUUUUGAUUUGUCUGAUUAUAUAAGCCUGAGGAGAUUUAUUGACGACUCAUGUUCUGUUUACUUACAACUGGUUGGUCGUUUGAUGCAGUGAGAUAGGCAUAUCUUAGAGUUUUUUUUUUUUAAAUGUCGGAUCUUGAGGCACCACUAGUACGUCCAAAAAGAAAGAAGAUAUGGGUUGAUUACUUCAUCCAGUUCCGAUGGAUCGUCGUCAUCUUCAUCGUCCUUCCCAUCUCUGCCACAUUAUACUUCCUCACCUAUCUUGGCGAUGUUUGGUCUGAAACAAAAUCCUACGAGAAACGUCAAAAAGAACACGACCAAAACGUUAAGAAAGUCAUCAAACGACUCAAGGGAAGGGAUGCAUCAAAGGACGGGCUUGUUUGCACCGCACGUAAACCUUGGAUAGCUGUAGGAAUGAGAAACGUGGACUACAAGCGAGCUCGCCAUUUCGAAGUCGACUUGUCUGCUUUCCGUAACAUAAUAAAGAUUGACAAAGAGAGAAUGAUUGCUAGAGUGGAGCCUCUUGUGAACAUGGGACAGAUUAGCCGUGUGACCGUUCCAAUGAACCUAUCCCUUGCAGUUGUCGCUGAGCUAGAUGAUCUCACCGUUGGUGGACUCAUCAACGGCUACGGUAUUGAAGGAAGCUCUCACGUGCAUGGUUUGUUUACAGACACCGUUGAGGCUUACGAGAUUGUUCUAGCUGGUGGGGAACUUGUCCGAGCCACUAGGGACAAUGAGUAUUCUGACCUAUUCUUUGCUAUUCCAUGGUCACAAGGGACACUUGGGCUUCUUGUUGCUGCCGAGAUCAGGCUUGUACACAUCAAGGAAUACAUGAAACUUACUUACAUUCCAGUCAAGGGCGAUCUACAAACCAUAGCUCAAGGUUAUAUGGACUCUUUUGCACCUAGAGAUCGGGAUCCAGCUAAGAUACCAGAUUUUGUUGAAGGCAUGGUUUAUAGUCCAAGUGAAGGUGUAAUGAUGACAGGUACAUAUGCAUCGAGAGAAGAGGCUAAGAGGAAAGGGAACAAGAUCAAUAACGUUGGAUGGUGGUUCAAGCCAUGGUUCUACCAAUAUGCACAAACGGCAUUGAAGAAAGGAGAGUUUGUUGAGUACAUUCCAACUCGAGAAUAUUACCAUAGGCAUACUAGUUCCUUGUAUUGGGAAGGUAAGCUUAUCCUUCCGUUUGGUGACCAGUUCUGGUUUAGGUUCUUGUUUGGAUGGUUGAUGCCUCCGAAGGUCUCUCUUCUUAAGGCCACUCAAGGUGAAGCCAUCAGAAACUACUACCAUGAGAUGCAUGUCAUCCAAGACAUGCUUGUUCCUCUCUACAAAGUCGGUGAUGCUCUCGAAUGGGUCGACCGUGAAAUGGAGGUAAGACCCAAUGAAACAUUCGCCCUUGACCUCCAAAUUUUAAAGAGUUAUUAUAUAUAGAUCGAAUGACUUCUAAAUUUUGAAAGAAAUUAUUUAUAAAAAUUCACAAAAUAUGCUUAUGAAAUGUUAAGAACUUAUUUCUAAUUAUUAUUUUGGGUAAUCUUUUUAAUAUUUUAUAUAUAUUGUUUAGGUAUAUCCACUUUGGCUGUGCCCUCACAAACUCUUCAAACAACCGGUUAAAAGCAUGAUUAGCCCCGAACCAGGAUUUGAGUAUGAGAUGAGACAGGGAGACACAGAAGAUGCACAGAUGUACACUGACGUUGGAGUCUACUACGCUCCUGGUCCUGUCCUGAGAGGCGAAGUGUUCGAUGGAGUUGAAGCUGUGCGAAAGAUGGAGCAGUGGCUGAUAGAGAACCAUGGCUACCAGCCUCAGUAUGCAGUAUCUGAGCUCGACGAGAGAAGCUUCUGGAGAAUGUUUGACGCUGACUUGUACGAGCAUUGCCGCAGGAAGUACAGGGCUAUAGGCACAUUCAUGAGCAUUUAUUACAAGUCGAAGAAGGGACGUAAGACUGAGAAAGAAGUCAGAGAAGCUGAGCAAGCUCAUCUCGAAACAGCCUAUGCCGAGGGGGAUUAAUAGCAAAGUUUAUUACACAUUGUCUUGCUUGUGUGUUUCUUAAAAUGUUUCUUUAACUUGUUUGGUGUACUCUUCUUUAAUAUUCUUGUGCACUUGACGGCUGAUUCUAUCUUGUUUGCGCAUAUUCAUAAUGAUUUCAAACGUAAUAGCACAUAUUACUAAUUAAGUAACGAAAUAUUGUUUGUUGUAACGUAAUAAAUUUGCAGGGAGGUCUCAUUUGUUCCUAAGAAUCGCCACCGACUUUGGCGACGAUAACUGAAGCAUAGUGAGCAAUGUUAGUCUCGCGAUACCUGUAAAGCUCCUUUGGAGACUAUAUCUUCACAAAGCUUGUUGGAAUUUCGGACAAGGUUGCUCAAUGCCACCAGCAGCCUUAUAGAUCGUCUUAGUUGGUUGGUUGGUUUGUAAACAAUAAGAAAAAAUAGCUAGAUCUAGGUUUCAGAUAAUCAGUAUUAUAGAGAUAUAUAAUGUUUAAGAUAUCCCCUAUAUAUUAAUAGAGGAACAUUUGAAAAGUUAUAACCUGAAGUUUGUAUUAAUUAAAAAAUAGCCCCGCUUAGGUGUCAAGCAAUUAGAAUGUUAAUUAGGGUGACGUGUCAGCUGGAAAAUCAAUUGAGAAAUUGGUGAGUCCAUAAUUAAAUGCUAGAGAAUGUUACUAUACCUAUCAAUAGAAAUAUAAUUUGGCUCAUGUAUAAUAAAUACGAGCAUACACUAAAAACUAUCAAUGUAUAAUAAACAAACGAUCAUACACUUAAUUAUAAACCAAGCAUUUCAUCCCUAAUAAAAAAAGAUCAUACAUUCAAGUUCAUACUGUCAGUGCCCCAGUCUCCUUUCGAAAGUAAUCCGUAUGCUUCUUAAGCUUUUUUAACUCAGAACACUUUGAAAACAAGAUGCCAUGAACAAAAAUUAGUUAACCAUAGAACUGUCGAGACAUAACAAUGUUGAUUGUUAAGUAUGAAGUUAUAUGUUGACUUAAGAAGCUUUCGUCUCUGUAACCAAUUGAAGCUAUGUCAAUAAUGUUCUGUAAAUUACGAAGUUUUGAAAAAGUUAAAGAUGGUGGCCGGUUUAUAAUUUUAAUUAGAACCGAUCAGUAUUGAAAUAAGACAUUCAGUACGUAUAAAAAUUAAAUUGUCGCAAACCAGGAUUUUGACUUGAUUUAUGGAAAAUUAUAUUGAAUAUGCUUAAAACUUUUGUCCCAAUGAAAGAUUAAAAAAUAUAUGGGAAUCACUUAAGGAAAACUAAAUAUGUAAUAAUAAUGGUAUGAUUUAUCGUACAAAGUAGUUAUAUUUUCCUUUAAUUAGUAGAGAAGAUAUUUUUACUCGAUAGAGGGUUCGAAAAAUUGUAUCACGGCAAGUCCAUAAGUCAAAUGGAAAAACGUGCUCACCAAGGUUAAACAUUCUAAAAUUUUGAAGGAAUUAAGGUAAUGUUUAAUAAGUGCACAUAUUAGAUUUUUUGUUAAUCAUCAACAUAUCUCCUAUAUAUUAAUUGAGAAACAUUUGAAAAUAUAUAACCCCAAUUUUGUAAUAAUUAAAAAAAACUUCUUGCUUAUGUGUCAAUCAAUUAAGUAGUUAAUUAGUUCUACGUGUCAGCCUCAAAUUAAAAUUGAAAAACAUGUUAGUCCAAUUCGAUUUUUAUAUCUCACUAGAAACAUUUAAUACCAACUAUAUGAUAUUAACUAAAGCAAGGAAAUAACCAUUAUUAUAUCGAAAAAAAAAUAUGUUGACUUAAGAAGCUUUCGUCUCUGUAACCAAUUGAAGCUAUGUCAAUAAUGUUCUGUAAAUUACGGAGUUUUGAAAAAGUUAAAGAUGGUGACCGGUUUAUAAUUUUAAUUAGAACCGAUCAGUAUUGAAAUAAGACAUUCAGUACGUAUAAAAAUUAAAUUGUCGCAAACCAGGAUUUUGACUUGAUUUAUGGAAAAUUAUAUUGAAUAUGCUUAAAACUUUUGUCCCAAUGAAAGAUUAAAAAAUAUAUGGGAAUCACUUAAGGAAAACUAAAUAUGUAAUAAUAAUGGUAUGAUUUAUCGUACAAAGUAGUUAUAUUUUCCUUUAAUUAGUAGAGAAGAUAUUUUUACUCGAUAGAGGGUUCGAAAAAUUGUAUCACGGCAAGUCCAUAAGUCAAAUGGAAAAACGUGCUCACCAAGGUUAAACAUUCUAAAAUUUUGAAGGAAUUAAGGUAAUGUUUAAUAAGUGCACAUAUUAGAUUUUUUGUUAAUCAUCAACACAUCUCCUAUAUAUUAAUUGAGAAACAUUUGAAAAUAUAUAACCCCAAUUUUGUAAUAAUUAAAAAAAACUUCUUGCUUAUGUGUCAAUCAAUUAAGUAGUUAAUUAGUUCUACGUGUCAGCCUCAAAUUAAAAUUGAAAAACAUGUUAGUCCAAUUCGAUUUUUAUAUCUCACUAGAAACAUUUAAUACCAACUAUAUGAUAUUAACUAAAGCAAGGAAAUAACCAUUAUUAUAUCGAAGAAAAAGGAGAAAAAUAUCGAAGAUAGAUAGGAUUGGCACGUAAACGUAAACUUCUAAUAACCAUUAUUAACUUUUAAAUUGCUAAAUCAUGAUAUAAAACUGAGCUGACAUAGUUUUAUUGUAACCAAAUAGUAGGCAUGAGAUUCUUCGGCCUAAACGUUAGGUUUUUAUGCGAUAAAUAAUUUUUUGACCUAAAAUAUUUUUAAAAAUGAGAUCAGUUCAUUAGUAAACAAAUUAUGUAAUUAACAAAAAAAGUUUUAAAAAAUUGUUUAAGAGCCAAAUAUAUUAAUUCGAUCAAUAUUAUAAAUUUUGUUUCCAUACAAUAUUUCUUAAAUAAUUUUCAUAUAAAUUUACCCUGCGUAAGGCGCAGGUCUUAUCCUAGUUGAGAUGAUAAUCCUGGAACUCGAUGUCUAAUGCAUAAGAUGUCCAACUUUCCUGCGUAUCAAAUCUGUUGGCUAAGUCCAAUAUCUCGGUUGUUAUUUGUUUGUUGAUACAGAUCGAGCGUCGAUCAUGUAUGUAAAAUGAUGGUCAGAAUCGGUUAAAUUGUAUUUUUUUUACUUAUUAAUUGUAUAAACCAAACCGGUUUAAGAGUCACCCUUACGAAGAAUAGGUUAGAUUCGAUUUAGAAUUAUUGAUAAAGUAUAUAUAUACCAAGAUUGCCGUAUAGGAGAAUGUUACUAUACUCGUGCAUCUAUAUCUAUAUGUGAUUCAUUAAUAAUGACAAAAUAUUUUGGUAAAACAAACCAACAACGUAGUUAUUAUAGUAGAUAACAUAUGAAGUGAUUUAUUUAUGAUGUCAAAAUAUUAUUUAGAAAUAAAUGAAGUAUGAUUUUCUAGAAAAUGUCCUUUUUUAAAUGUCACACGAAAAUAAAUUGUGACUUUUAUUUUAAUAGAAUAAAUUUGAGCUUCAGUGUGGAUAAAAAUAUCAGGGACGGCAAUUAUAAUGGCAUCUGCAUUGGAAAUCUCCUUUGCCUAUAUCUUGGCACCUACUAACCCCUUUUCUCUUUUUGGUACAUUCGGCUGCACAUUGCUUUGCAUCACAUUUUCCAGUAUUGUUUGGGUAUGCAUCAACACAAGUUUUUUGUGUGGCUGGUCCUCCUUUCUGAGCAGACACCAAUACUCCUGUUAUUAUAGUAAUUGAAAUAUAACAUUAUUUUGUAUUUAAAGCAGAAAAUUAAUAUUUUUGUAAAAUAUAUGUUUUGAGAGUUUUCUUUGCAUAUUUAUCAAAAUGAUAUUCUAAUCAUAUUAUUUCUUAAUCACUGAUCAUUCUUGGAGAAUUACUAAAUCAAUAUAAUGGAACUGGACAUACAAUUUAUAUAAACAUAUAAAUAAUACAGCAUCAAAAUAAAUUUAUAGUAUCAUGUUUAUAUAACAUAUACUAAAAAGUUGUGAAGUAAAUACAUACCUAGUAGAAAGAUUGUGAGCAUAAUGAAGCCAAUAAGCGAAGUUCGAAAAGAAAUUUUCAUCUUAGAUAAUGAACUAAUUGUGUUUUAAAAGAUUAGAAAGACAGAGAAGUAUAUUUAUAGAGGAAUCACAUAUUGAAACAUAUCUAAUUUAAGCUAUGUUUUUUUUAAAUUCGAUAUUGGAGGAUCUAGUUUGACCAAUUUUUUUUAACAAUUUCUAAUUUAUUAUUUAUUUAAUAGAUAAAUAGUUUGGCUCAUUUAUUUGUAAGCUUAUAACACAAAUAGAAUGAAGAUUCAAAUAGUUAACGACCAUUUGUUCAAAUAAUAAUUCCCACAUAAUAAUUAUCAAAAAUAAAUAACAAACCAUCAGCAAACAUUAGUGGAUCAUAUCUUCCAAAAAAAAUAUGGUGCCUACAAAUAUUAACACAGUCGUUACAAAUAUUUGAGGGAUGAUAAUGAUAAUUAAUAAAUUCAACAGAAUAAGUGCAAUUAACACAAAAGUUUUUGAGAGGAAACGACUAAGCAUGCUGCUACUAUUUAAACAUAUUAAGCAAGGACAAAUCUCACUAAUGUAAAAAAAAAGCUUCGUUUAGUUUAAAGAUCCUACCAAAACAGAUGUGAGUCUCCUUGAAGCUCUUCACUAAGAUAAUUACCAAAUUUGGUGCAACCUCUUCUAUUGAAUUUCAUAGCUACAUGGAGGUGAUGUACCAACAACUCAUCCUAUUACCACUUGUGAAGAAUUUGUUGCUGCAAACCACUACAUGGAACAAUCUUGAAGCACACUAUGUCAAAGCUAUCAUUCGUAACUUCUAUGAAAAUGAUGUCAUUAAUGGUCUCUUUCAAUUAAAUGUAGAAGCUGGUGGUGUACAUAAAGAAUCAACAUAUUUUUAUGGAGUUCUCCUACUAUGUACUAGAAUAAUGGAAGAUGGCGAGUAAAUACUCCGCUAAUCUCAAUUGGCUCGAAUACACAACCUUGAUUAACGGCUGAUGUAACAACAUAAAUACAUCUUUCCAUGGAUCAAGCGUGCCAAAAAAUAUAAGAUAUCUCAAAUCUUUGAGGAAGAUGAGACCAAGCAACCUUUAUCAUCUUAAUGAUAUGACAAAUACAUGUGCAAAGUGCUACUACUAUAAGCAAAUAGUGAAGUUUGUCUUUAUGAUAUGACAACACCACAUCUCAAAGAGUUGUUGUGCUGUUAUACGAUGAAAACAAACUUUUUCAUUUGCUUAUAAUAGAAGCAUUUUCAAGAGUUAGUUGUGUUGGAAGCUUUACUAUUCGAAUUUCAAAUUUAACAAGUCUAUGGUUCACACUUCACACCUUUUAGACGAGGUUGUUGCAGCAUUUUCCUAUAUCCAUGUGUAAAUUCUACAAUAAUGUAUAUUUUCUUUUGAAAAAAAAUAAUGAAUUCCAAAACACAUAUGGCAGAAUCUUACAGAAACCAUGCCUUCUUAAAUAACAAUUUUCAAAUGAAAAAAACACUUUCAAUUAUUACACAUUUAAAAUGACUACUUAUAAUUUAGCAAAAAAUAAGACUACUUAUAAUUAAAUGAGGUUGGCAGCUCAGGCUUCGAAUGGUAAAAGCAGUUCAAACAUGACAGAUCAAGCAAAUCAUGCAGAUCAAGCAGGACAACUACAGAUCAAGCGGAACAAGUGCAGAUCAAGUGGAUCAUGCAAGAAAGAACCAUAUCAAAUAAUUUAUUAUAACUUAUGAAUGACAAAAUCAGCUCAAAACUAUAUAUCAUAUAUUAAAACAAUAAAAAUGACACUUAGAUAUCUAAACAAAUAUCUUAGAUGGUAUAGGAUCGACCGAAAUGCAUGUAAAUGUUUUAUAAGAUACUUAUACUUCUUUUAUUUUUUUAUUUAUAAAAAUUAAAAUUUAUAUGAAAAAAACAAUAAGUAGAGAAUGAUAAUUUUGUAUUGUUAAAGUUGUAAAUAAAAUAAAAUAAAAAUAUUGUAUUCAUAAAACUAGAUAAAUAUAUUUUUUAAGUUAUGUGUUGUAACAAAGUUAUUUAUUGACCAAACAAAAAAAAGCAGAUCAACACCACCAAAUGUUAGCGGGUGAGAUCUGCAUGCAAAUCUCCUGCUUUUUUUUUACAAAAAGAUAAAAAAUAUUGAACUGCAUGCAGAUCUUCCGCUUGAACUGCUUUUGCAAAAAAAAAAAAGAGUGAAUAGUGAAUGCAAUGCGGGAGAACUGCAUGUGUAGGAGAAAUACAUGUGCAGGAAAACUGCAUUUGUCCCGCUGCUCCUGUCCUCCAUUCGGACACUGAGUUGGACGAAACAACUCGCCAUGUGUAAAAAGGCGUUCCAUAAUGAUUCAUUUAUUCCAUAUAAGUGCGACUACAAAUCAGUUCUUUUAAACAAGAGGGAGAAGAAAAUCACUUGGGCGAACUCAGUGACAACACAAAACUCCCAUGCGUUUUCAAAGGAAUAGAGCAUUUCAAUAAUAUUCCCAUGCUUGAGCUUCCGCAGUAUCUGAAACCAUACAAACAAACAAAUGUGGUUAAUUUAUGGAGACGCCACUAAUGUGAAACGGUGAAGGCAUAGAAGUUUCUAACCUCAAACAAUUCACCCUGUGAAACAUGUUCCAUCAUGAUUAAUUUAUUUCAUCUAGGUGUGACUGCAGGAUUCACAAUUCAGUUCUUUUAGAAUCUACAAUCGACAGGGAGGAGAAGAUUACUUGGGCAAACUCAGUGACAACACAGAACUCUCGUGCGUUCUCAAAGGAGUCGAGCAUCUCAAUAAUGUUCUCAUGCUUGAGCUUCCUCAAUAUCUGAAAGCAUACAGAACACAUUAGGAGAUACGAUACCACAUGAAUGUGAAUUAAAGAAGUUUCUAACCUCGAUUUCUUGUCUUAGACUAUGAAUAUCCUUGUCACUCUUUCCUUGUUUCAUGAUGAACUUCAUCGCCACCGUCAAAUCAAAGUUUGGAGCCAAUCAGAAGAGAUUAACGAACAAGUUAACCACAGCAAUUUACCUGGCCGUCUUCCUUUGUAAACUCUCCCCAAAGAGCCUUCACCGACGAGCUCGAUAACAUGAUAAUCCUCCACGCCCAUAAUCUGAGCACGAUCGUCUUUUGAAUCUGCCGCAUAAAGCAACGUGUUAGCUUCCAACGCUAUAUAACGGCACUGUCACUAAAACUGAGAGAGAGUCUAUGUCACAUUCAAUCGCAUUUCUAAACUAUGUUGCUUUCCGAUUUCAUGUUUAGGAUAAGGUACUAACAGGAAACAUCUAAGUAAAGCUAGAGAUGCAGAUUUCUAAAUCCGAUUAGCAAAAUAAUCAGACCUUAGUUCAGAUUAAACGGGGAAAUCGAAGGAUGGCUCGCGAAAGUUAUAAAUUAAAUUUUGCUUCUAAAAGUCGUGAACAAUGUUUUAAAUUUUAUUGCUGAUCUUAUCAUCUUCCCGAUUUUUUUUGGUGAAUUUUGUCCUCGAACAAGUUAUCAAUUAAAUUUUGCUUCUAAAAGUUGUGAACAAUGUUUUUUUUACGGAGUGGUUAACAUGAACCCAAUAACUUCACAAACAUUAAAACCUUUUUAUACAAUACGAAUAUCUACCUUAUUCUCUUGACUAGUAGUGGUUCAUGAACUUCCUGUUAAAUAUAGUAAACUAAAAAAACUAACGUCAGUGGAAACACACACACAAGUAAGUUACGCUUUGAAAUUUUCUACAAACAAGUUAUUCUUUUUGCGUUUACUUAAAAGAAAAAAGCUAUUCUUUAAAUUUUUCUACAAAAUAAGUUACUACUUGAAUGAUUCCGUAGAGUUAUAGCAACGGCGACGAAGUCACAAAAACAUGUAUACACACAUCGACUGAUAAUGUUACAGAAUCAAACCAUAAACUAAUAAAAACAUUUCUUGUCCGAAAAAGAAACAAAUACUACAUUUUUGUGUUUGUUUUAUAGUUUUUAAAUUAAUAAUAUCUGACGGAAAAGGAAUCGGAUAAUAUAACAAAUCUAACGGCAGAGAGUAAGAGAGAGAAAGAGGUGUUUGCUGUGUUUGAAUGAGAUUAAACAACGCCGCUCUUCUUCUUCUCAAAUCCUCCUCUCCGCCUAGGGUUUUCUCUUCCACUCUCCGCCGCCCUUUUCCCUCUCGCUCCCGCUUCAGCUUCUCUUCUUCCGCCGCAGCCAUGCCUGGUUCCGAACCAUCAUCGGAGAUUCAAUGGCCAGCCAAGACCGUCAGGGACACGUAUUUCGAUUUCUUCAAAGGGAAAGGUCACAAGUUCUGGCCAUCGAGCCCCGUUGUUCCACACAACGAUCCCACUCUCCUCUUCGCCAACGCCGGUACGUAACUUCCAAUCGCUACAAUCAGAUUAAUCUCGUAUUUUGAUUGUGGAGUUGACUAGAUUGCUUUGUGAUCUAUUCACUCUUAGUUGAUUAAGAGUUUGUAGAUUAGAAGAUUCAUAUACUGUCUCAAAUGUCAUGUUACUGAUUCUCUUAGCUCUGUGUAUAUUUGUUCAUUGUUAUCGAAGCGUUUGGAUCUAUUCAUUCACUCUCAAUUGAUUAAGAGUUUGUAGUUUGGAAGAUUCAUAAACUAUCUUAGAUGUCAUUUUCUUGAUUCUUAGUUAAUUUAAUACUUCCGUUUCAUUUUAAUUGUCGUUCUAGUUUUACGUGUUUAUGCAUACAGAUUAAGAAAACGUAUGAUUUUGUAUAUUUCCAAAACAAAACACAAUUACCUAUACACUUAACCAUAUUUCAACCAUAGAAAAAAAAAUCUUAUUAAUAAAUUUUGAACACUUAUUUUGAAACGAAAAGUUUUCGCUAUAACUCGAAACGGAGGGAUUAUUAUUGGAGAUAAAUUUAAUUUAAUUUAAUUCAAUUUAAUUACUCUGUUUUUUUUUUCAAAAGGAAUGAACCAGUAUAAGCCAAUAUUUUUGGGAACGGCGGAUCCGAAUACGGAGCUCAGCAAGCUAACUCGGGCGUGUAACACACAGAAGUGUAUUCGUGCUGGUGGGAAGCAUAAUGAUCUUGACGAUGUGGGGAAAGAUACUUACCAUCACACCUUCUUUGAGAUGCUGGGUAACUGGUCAUUUGGAGAUUAUUUCAAGAAGGAAGCUAUUGAGUGGGCUUGGGAGCUCUUGACUAAGGUUAGUUAACAAUUAGCAUCUUGUUUUGAAAUACGCUGUGGUUCAAAGAGUACGUCGUGGAGUAUUGUCUCUCUCUCCCUCCUACGACAGUAAUGUCACAGUUUUUUUCAAUUUUUUUUUAUUGGGUCGUGUGUUUUGAUUAAGAUCCAUUGCAACAAUAUGUCAUAGUUUUGUUAAGUGAUUCCUUUUGUUGUUAUUGAGUGAUUGAGUUUAUGUCUCAGGUUUAUGGGCUACCGACUGAUCGAAUUUAUGCUACCUACUUUGGCGGGGAUGAGAAAGCUGGCCUUCAACCUGAUAAUGAAGCUCGAGAUAUAUGGCUUCAGUUUCUCCCACCUGGACGUGUCCUCCCUUUUGGUUGCAAGGUAUGUUACUUUACUACUAUAAAAAAAAACAGAUUCUUUUAUAUGAAAUCUGCUAUAUCUCUAUUCUCUAUUUCCUAAGGUUUUUUCAGAAGUGCGAGUGUUUCUUGUAUAUAUUGACACUUGCUGUCAAGGUUAAGCUUGAAUGCAUUUGUGGUAGGACUACGCUAUCAAGUUAUAGUGAUUUCCAGUGAAGAAUUUUGUGUAAAAUGUAAAACUAUGAGUUUUCUAUUGCUACUGUUCCUUCAUUUAAUUUUUGGUGACACUGCAGGACAACUUCUGGGAAAUGGGAGACACAGGUCCGUGUGGACCUUGUACUGAGAUUCAUUAUGAUCGUGUUGGCAACCGUGAUGCUGCAUCCUUAGUUAACAAUGACGAUCCAACUUGUUUGGAAAUAUGGAAUCUUGUGUUUAUUCAGGUACGAACACUCUCUUUCCAGAUUUGUAAUUUAGUUCCAUUUUAAUAAUUUUCAUCUAUGUAUCGUGUUUGUAUAGAGAAACUCUACAUUACGUCUCUAGUUGCAUUGUUUUUGCUUCUUUAUCUUUGUUAUUAUAUCCUCAAUUGUUUUCUCUAACGAGGCCUGUUACUAUAUUUUCAAAAUAGUUCAACAGAGAGAGUGAUGGCUCACUAAAACCUCUCCCUGCUAAGCAUGUCGAUACUGGAAUGGGUUUCGAGAGGUUAACUUCUGUUCUUCAGAACAAAAUGAGCAACUACGAUACAGAUGUGUUCAUGCCUAUCUUUGAUGACAUUCAGAAGGUAAUUUGUGGAACCUUAAGGUUUUAUGACAUUCUGUUAAUUUCCAGUUAGUAUUCUUACGGUUAACGGUUCCUCUUUCGUCUCAUUUAGUACUAUCAUCGUUGUUGUUAUAUGACAAAUGGAUUAUGAGUCCUGGUAAUUCUGUGAACUCUAAUCUUAGGCUAUGUGUUCACUGGGAUUUUACAAUAAUUCUCCUUUUAUGCACACAGUCAUUUGUUUUGGAAUGUCUGAUUUAGUGACUUUGGAGUAUAACGAUGAAGGGAUCAUAGUACUGGUAUCCGGGGGAUUAUUUCCUUGUUAGCUGUGGUUUUUGUCAUGUAUUUUUAUCAGUUAGAGAAGUUAAAAAGAGUUCUGAUUAGUCUUUUUCCCCUAACUGUUGUGAAUGUUCAUGCUUUCACAUUUUUAGGCCACAGGAGCGAGGCCAUAUUCUGGAAAAGUUGGUGUGGAAGAUGUCGACAGAGUUGACAUGGCUUAUAGAGUGGUUGCGGAUCAUAUUAGGACACUAUCAUUUGCUAUCGCAGAUGGCUCUCGUCCUGGUAUGGCCACGAUUUCUUGUCUCAUUUUAUACAAACGUCUUAGUAUUUGAUCAUUUAUUUUAGUUCUUACGUCUAAUUAUCCAACGAGAAGUGCUUUUGGUUUAUUUAUUCUUAAUUGACAUGAUGGAUUUGUGCUUUUUCUUCCUCAGUCAGCAUAUUAUGAUAAGUCUAUUCUUUCUUGUUGGUUAACAAAUACCAUCCAAUGUACACACUCUUGCAGGUAAUGAGGGCCGUGAGUAUGUUCUACGGCGUAUCCUUCGCAGAGCAGUUCGCUAUGGAAAGGAGAUCCUAAAAGCUGAAGAAGGUUUUUUCAACGGGUAGGAAACCACACUUGAUUGUCAUUGCAUGGGUUGUCUCAAUAUUAUUUCGUUGAUGCUGGAACAUGUUUAUUUUUAUCUUGCAUCUUUGUAAAUGCAGCAUGUGUUUCUAUACGCAUAUCAGCUCCGUCUGUGUUAGACACUAAUUAGUUUGCGCUUUUAACAUGCAGACUCGUCAGUUCUGUUAUUCGAGUGAUGGGCGAUACCUUUACAGAGUUGAAGGAACAUGAGAAGAAGAUCACAGAGAUAAUAAAAGAAGAGGAAGCAAGCUUUUGCAAGACUUUGGCGAAGGUUAGGACUGGCUCAUCUAUUUGCAGCUCAAUAUCGAUAAUGCCUUUUGUAUAUAUUAUUUCCAGUUUCGCCCUAAUUCAGUUUACCAUAAUUUCAGCUUUCCUUUUUCUGAAAGAUGAAUUGUUUUGAUAUGUUAAACUUUAUAGUGUCUAUAAGAACAUUUAGGUUGAUUAUAUUAUUUUCAUGGCAGGGAAUUGAGAAAUUUCAGAAAGCUGGACAGGCAGUUCAGGGGAAUACAUUGAGUGGAGAGGUACUUAUCUAACUAUAUCUGUGUUGUAUGUUAGAUGUUGCAGUAUUUUCAUCUGUGAUGUUUGAAUUUCCAUCUCAACAUACCGUUUUCUCUUUGCAGGAUGCUUUUGUCUUAUGGGAUACGUUUGGGUUCCCAUUAGAUCUCACACAGGUACUUAGGUCAUUCGUAGUUAUAUCUAAAAGUGUAUGCGUUUCUUUAUAACUCUCAUUCUCGGGUUUCAGUUGAUGGCUGAAGAAAGAGGGUUGCUGGUUGAUGUUGAUGGCUUCAACAAAGCCAUGGAAGAGGCGAGGGAAAGAUCUAGAAGUGCCCAGAAUAAGGUGUUUCAACUUUUCUCUCUUUCCUUUGAUGUUAAAAUUAAGUGGGACUAUGGUCAACGUCAAAUUUACAUUUAUCUAUUGACUGAUCUUCUGAUGUCAAUUUUUGGUAGCAAGCUGGUGGUUCCAUUGUUAUGGAUGCUGAUGCUACAUCAAAAUUGCACAAGGCUGGUGUUUUAGCAACAGAUGACUCUUUUAAAUACACUUGGUUCAAGGUUUGUCCUAUUUAUUCCAGAAAAUUUGAAUGUUGGGCCUGUACUGUACUUAUGUUGGGGUAGAAAGAAAGAAAUUAGGGUACAGAGUAGCAUAUGGAUUUCACUUAAAUUAAGCCUGUGCUGAGCAAAUGUCCUACCAAAUUUUGCGACAGGAUCACGAGAGUGAAGUAAAGGCUAUCUACACUGGCUCUGCUUUUCUGGAAAGUUCAGCUGCUGGCGAUAAUGUUGGACUAGUUUUGACGUCGUCUAGUUUCUAUGCUGAGCAGGGUGGUCAGGUGAUCCAUUUUAUUUGAUAGGCACUUUAUUUUUCCGAGUGUUCCAUUUCUAAUCAUACGAGUGAUGGCAUGAAAAGGAGUUAUGUUCAUCUUGGAUAUAUGUACCUGAUAGUAACACCAUUAACACUGUCAUGUAAGAACUGCACUGUUUGAAUAUACGUAUCAGUUGCAAACACCAUGCAAUUGUUAUCGUCGGUUUUGGAAACGAAUAUCUAUAGUCUGUUUAGAGCUGCAUAUAUAUUUUAGAUUUCACAAAUUCUUAUAUGUAUAUAAAAUUCGUGCCCUUGACAUUUUGCUCUGGCAAUAGAUUUUCGAUACAGGACUUAUUGAAGGCUCGUUUGGUACAUUCAACGUAUGUAAUGUCCAAAUAUUUGGAGGCUUUGUUCUUCAUAUUGGUUAUCUCUCAAAAGAAACUGGAGUUGUAUCUGUGGGAGAUAAAGUGACUUGCAAGGUAUCGCUCUGCAUCAUACAGUGUUUGUCUCAGUCACCAGCGUAUUUGGUACUACCUUAACUGUUUGGAUAUCCGUCUGUGUAGGUUGACUAUGAGAGGCGUAAGCUCAUCGCUCCUAACCAUACUUGUACACAUAUGUUGAAUUUUGCACUGAAGGUAUUGUUUCUGUAGUUUAAGUUACCUAAAGGGUAAUUUCCUUUUUCUUAAAUUGGAUCUCAAAACAUUCACUUUCCAUGAAUUCAGGAAGUGCUCGGGGAUCAUAUUGAUCAGAAGGGAUCAAUAGUUCUUCCUGAAAAACUGCGUUUUGAUUUUUCUCACGGUACAUUCUUCAAUACGUAUUUUUCAUAUGGAUAUGGAUAUGGAUAGUCUCUUAUAAUUGUCUAACGGUUUCCAUAAUUUCGAGUAGGCAAGCCGGUUGAUCCUGAAGAUUUAAGAAAGAUCGAAGCCAUAGUGAAUAAACAGAUCAAGGAUGAACUGGAUGUAUUUUCGAAGGAAUCAGUGCUUUCUGAAGCCAAGCGAAUCAAAGGUUUAAGAGCAGUGUUUGGUGAAGUAAGCUGUCCACCAGUUCUCUUGCAAUGCGUUUUUAGUUUGUUUUCUGUGAAUCUAAAACGUUUUCGCUUCUUCUGUUUUUAGGUCUACCCUGAUCCUGUUAGAGUGGUGUCGAUUGGGAGACGGGUCGAGGACCUCUUGGCUGAUCCCGAAAACAAUGAGUGGUCAUCACUUUCUUCUGAGUUUUGUGGAGGUUGGUUUCCGUGGGGGAUGGUUUUCUGGGACCUAGAGAUUACUUUUCUGAAUUAGAGUAUUGAGUAUAGUAUUAUUUUGGAUAUCGCAGGAACCCACAUAACAAACACCCGUGAAGCGAAAGCUUUUGCUCUUCUAUCAGAAGAAGGAAUUGCUAAAGGUAUUCGUAGGGUAACUGCUGUGACUACCGAAUGUGCUUUUGAUGCAAUGAACGUGGCGUCCUCACUUGAAAAAGAAGUCGAGGAUGCAUCCAAAGCGGAGGGGAGUGCAUUGGAAAAGGUUAUCUCUCUUCUCUCGUUUCUCACAAUCUAAAAAAUUAUAAUAAGUCUUAUUCAUGUCAGACUUAAUGUGAUCAUUUUUGAAUGUUGACAGAAAGUUGCUGCUUUGAAAAGCCGGGUAGACUCGGCAAUUAUGCCAGCGGCCAAAAAGGCAGAUAUAAGGGCCAAGAUUGCUCUGCUUCAGGUAAUCUCUUUCAGCUCUACAUUGAGGAGCUUUAUUCUGCAUCUACUUUGCAAAGAACCUUCGGCUUGUGUCUGGUAACAUAAGUAUUAAAGUGGAUAUAUUCUUUUUUACAUUGCAGAAUGAAGUGAGAAAAGCUCAAAAGAAAAUAGCAGAGCAGAACCUGAAGAUAUCUGUGAAAGUAGCAACAGAGGCAGCAGAGUCUGCAGCAUCUGAUGGGAAGACAUUCUGCAUUAUCCAGCUUGAUGUAGGUUUCGAUGCAGCUGCCGUGCGAGAAGCUGUCUCGAAAGUUAUGGAAAAGAAGGUAAAUCUCCAUUUACCUUUACUAACUACUCCUUGAAAAGGUAAAGAAAGUUAAAUAAAAGUGUUGUUGGUGAAUCUUGUAGGGAAUGUCGAUAAUGGUGUUCAGCACAGAUGAAACGACCAACAAGGCGGUUGUGUGUGCGGGAGUUCCAGACAAAUCUGAUAAAUUCAAGCAAUUAGACGUCACUGAGUGGCUUACUACUGCAUUGGGUCCUCUGAAAGGGAGAUGCGGGAAAGGGAAAAGUGGUCUUGCAUCUGGACAGGUAUGUGCUAAUUGAUCUCAAUCUAAAAUCCGUCGGUGAAGUAUAUGGACAUAUAUUGACUCUUGAGACAAGGUUUGUCCUAUUUAUUCCAGAAAAUUUGAAUGUUGGGCCUGUACUGUACUUAUGUUGGGGUAGAAAGAAAGAAAUUAGGGUACAGAGUAGCAUAUGGAUUUCAAAGUGAACGCAGCUUUGGAUCUGGCUGCAUCAUUUGCAUCACUGAAACUCAACUGAUUGAUGUGGAGGUGAUUACAGAAUCUGUGUGGUCUUGGACAACCUCUACUCAUUUGAUACCAUUGUAUACCGUUUUACUCAUUUUAAGAUCUACUGUUCUCUCAUUUCUUGUGUCGAAUUCGUGGUACUUCUUAGUCAGUCAAAGUUUUUUUUUUUUUGGUAACAAUGUUAAAAGAGUCAAAGUUAGCAAUUGGUGGUACCUCUUUUGAGCCAAUCCGGUGAUGGUUCUACUGGUUUGGUUUUAUAUUUCAAUAAUUUAUGGAACAUAAAAGCUGUUCACUCGUUUCUUUGGUUUGAUAUGGUUUCAGUUCAGAUUUUGUUUUUCUAAAAUAUUUUUGGAUUCGAUUGUUUUAAUUUGAAAAAAGUAAAUUAUCGUAAAUCCUUAAAAAAAU
Molecule: long non-coding RNA, 45055 nt
Filed under: Brassica napus (rape)
Lineage: Eukaryota; Viridiplantae; Streptophyta; Magnoliopsida; Brassicales; Brassicaceae
Description: long non-coding RNA (BNAP_LNC004779)
Source: RNAcentral